Molecule: long non-coding RNA, 63685 nt
Filed under: Triticum aestivum (bread wheat)
Lineage: Eukaryota; Viridiplantae; Streptophyta; Magnoliopsida; Poales; Poaceae
Description: long non-coding RNA (TAES_LNC000497)
Rfam family: MIR1120/MIR1122 microRNA precursor family (bases 2980-3066)
Source: RNAcentral
CUAUCCUACUAUCAUAGACCUUUGUCAAGUUAUUACCCCGCCCUCUUGAAUUUGCACCUUAUCUCUGAGGCUGAAUGGUGUUAACGUUUUGGAUUGUCUUGAUGAGUUUAUUUAUAAUGAAUGGUUCUUAUGUUGGUUCUUAUCACUUGGUAAGUUUUCUCAUUGCGGUUGGCGGCAAAGUGUACAGUGGUGAUAGUUUGCCCUUGAUCUUAAGGGGCUCUAGCUGAUUAUUUCAAGUUCCCAGUCUCCCGUCCUAAUUAUAUACUCCCUCCGUCCCAUAAUAUAAGAGCCCUUUUUACACUACACUAGUGUCACUGACGGAGGGAGUAUCUUCCAAGUCUUGGUACCGAUUUCCAGAGGUACCGCAUUGCUAGAUUAUUCAAAACCGCUACUUGGCUAAUCGAUGGAACCCUUGUUACACUGAAACGUCUUUGUUUGAGAUAUAUAAGAGCGUCGAAUGGUUAACUCACCGCAAAUCCUUUGCAUAGGGUUUCUAGGUCUUCAAGUUUCCUCCGCCAUUGAGUGUCAAUAAUGGGGCGCUGUCAUGGUGGGGCAGAUGUCGAUGAUGCUCAUAGGAAUAAUGGUCUCCUAGCCCAUGCUUCUGCUCAUCGGAGGUGUAGCUGGAGAAGCUUGUGGAGUCCAAGCUGUUGGAGCGGUUUCGAUCUGGCCUGCGUCGUGGCGUGGCAGCGGCGAGGAAGAUGGUGGAGGAUUCUGCCGCCUAUUCACGGGCCUUGUCGGGCUAGAUCCAACCUUUCAGGGUUGGUGGCUAUUGCGCUUGUUAAGCCUCCAACCUAGGGGUUACUUCAGCGUCAAAAUGUGGACUAGUUUUUGGUGCUCUCCUUCUCCAGUGACGACGAAGAUGGUGGGUGCUUGGUAGUUGCAGCGAUGGCGGUAUGCAUUGGUACAGCCGUUUAUAAUCUCGUUGUUUUCUGUUGCUUGUAUCUGUAUCAUCUCUUUACUAGUAUUAUAUAAAUACAAGUGAUAUAUGCCUACGGGUGUGCAUUUAUUUUUUUAGCUUUGCAUCUUUUUUUGCUUUGCAUUAUUCACAUCGUUAUGACAAAAUUGGUUGCAGAGUAAUUGACAUAAUUCUCUCGGUCAUGGACCCGAGCAUCACUCUGUAGCUAGCAGUGUCAGCAGUCGACGACACUGCAAGCGGGCAAUUUCCUCACACGACUAUCCUCCAUCCGCUGCCUGACCUCCAUGGCGUCGCUCCAUCUGUCAGCCCCCGCAUACGCAUUGCUCAUCAGCGUGUAGUCCCCGCUGUUCCCGCCGUCCAGUUCCCUGAGCCUCUCGGCGACCACCUCGGCGACGCCCAAAUCGCCGUGCGUUCUGGCCGCCCCCAGCAGUAUCCUGUAGACGACGAGCUCAGGAGCGACGGGCAUCUCGGCGACGAACCUCAGCGCCUUCGUCAGCCGACCGGCGCGCCCCAGGAGGUCGACGACUACGCCAUAGUGCUUCAUCUGCGGCUCCACGCCGUGGACCGACCUCAUGCUCUCGAAGUGGCCGAGUCCCUCCUCGACGAGCUCCGCGUUGGCGCACGCGAUCAGCACGCCGAGGAAGGUGACCUCGUUCGGCCUGAACCCUUCGGCGAUCAUGGCAUGGAAGGCGCUCAGAGCUUCCUCCUCGGCGCCGUUGUUGGCCAUCCCCAUUAUGAUCGAGUUCCAUGACAGGGUGUCCUUCUCUUUCAUUUCUCUGAAGACCUGCAGCGCCUCCUUGGUGCUUCCGCAUUUCGCGUACAUGUCGAUCAGAGAAUUGUGCAGGAUGGUGUCGGCUUCGAUCCCGUGUCGCCUCAUGUAGUCGUGGAUCCACUUGCCGAGAUCGAGAGCGCCUAGGUGCGCGCAGGCAGAGAGUACGCUCGCGAGCACGACAGCGUCCGGUUUCACCUUGGCUCUCUGCAUCUCCCUGAAGAGUUCCAAGGCGUCAGAGAACUGACUAGCUUGCGAAUAUCCAGAUAUCAUAGAGCUCCAUGAGAUCAGAUCUUUGCCAGAAAUUUCCUCGAAUAAUCUUCUUGCCGAAACCAGAUCCCCAGCUUUUGCAUAUGCGGUGAUCAUCGCAUUCAUUGUCACGGUGUCCCUAUCCUUCAUGUUAAAGAAAAUCUUUUCUGCCGAUUGCAGCUGCCCACGUCUGCCAUAGUAAUCUAUCAAAGUAUUGCCCAAGUAGACAUCCACCUCUAUGCAGUAAUCCUCUAUGUACUUGACCAAGCAAUCUGCCAUGCUCCAAUCUCCUAGACGAGUGCACGCAGAAACAACCUUGGCCAUAGUGACCUUAUCAGCUCUAACUCCUUCGUCGUGCAUCAACUUGAAUAACUUCAAAACCUCUUUUAAUCUAUUGCGCCGGCUAUAUCCACAUAUCAAAGAGUUCCAGGACACCACAUCCUUAACCAGCAUCUCAUCGAAAACAGAUCUUGCACAGCACAAAUCACCACAGGCAGCAUACAGAUGAAUCAGCGAAUUGGAAACGAAGAUAUCCGAAAGAAGCCCGAAUUUCAGUACAUGGUUGUGCAUCUGUUUCCCUUCCUUAAGAGCACCAAUCCUUGCACAAGCCUUCACUACAAAUGGGAACGUCAGGUUGUCCGGCUCCAUACAUUUUCCUCGAGCCUUCUUGUAGAAAGCAAUUGCAUCUUCUGGUGCAUCGCUUUGAGCAAGCCCCCUGAGUAUGAUAUUCCGAAGGUAAGUUGUUGGUGCUUCAAUCUGCCCAUAUACUUUAUGAGCAAGAACCAAAUCUGGUUGUAGAAUAGCAUAGAAUCUGAGAAUCUUAGACAUUGCAUAUUGGCAGUUGUGCAGCCCAGAAACAAUGAGACGGCCAUGAAGCUUCUUUAUGGUUUCCAUCAUUACAAUGCUGAAAGAAAACUGGAUUUUUUCAUGAACUGUGGAUCAGUGAGUGGAAAUGCAGUACGGCACAUGUCAUUCAACACCUCUGCUUCCUGCAAGGGAUUACCAAUAUUAGUAGAGAAGCAACAAAAAGUACUAAUACUGUGAACUACUCUCUCCAUCCCAUAAUGUAAGACGUUUUUGCAAACUAUAUUAGCUUGCAAAAACGUCUAAUAUUAUGGGACGGAGGGAGUAGUACAAAAGCGACAAACAAUAAUACUGUGAACUUUUUGAAAGUGGAAUAAACGAGCACACUGUCGAUGCUUAUUAACAGCAUAUAGGAAAAAUAGCGAGCAUUGGAUAAUGAGAUGGUGGUGUUUAAAUACAAAGGUCAUAUGAUUCAACAAUCAUUAAGCAGCCAAGAAGAAAUAAACUGAAUUCUUAGUUCUUUUAACUUUGCAUGAAAGAUAAUAAAUAAAAGGCAAAAUAACACAAUAAACCCACCAUAAAGUAGGAAGGCUAGAUUUUAACGAUGGAACAAAACCUCUUAAAACUAUGUGGAGCUUCUUCCCAAUAAUUUGGUUCCGACUUACUGACUCUCACCAACCAAAGCAAGCCCAGGAACCUUAACAGUAUUCAUCUCAUCUACUAGCUUCCGUGCUCUUUCAGCAUCACUAAACCUUCCAUGCUCAGUGAGCAUAUUGGAUACCACCACAAAAUCACCUCCAGAUUCUCUUUCGAUGUCUAGUAUCUUCUUCAUUGCCCUCUCCGCCAUCUCCACUUCCCCAUACUUGCUGCAACAACCCAGCAGUGUCCUCCAUAUGACUGAAUUAACCUCCAUUGGCAGACCACUUAUUACUUGCUCGGCCUCAUAUAACCGUCCAGCCCUCCCUAGCAUGUCUAUGAUACACCCAAAAUGCUUGAUCUCUGGAGUUAGACUGUAUUCAUACACCAUGGUUUUGAAAAACAGUACUCCUUGCUCGACCAGCCCACCAUGGUUGCAAGCACUGAGAACACUUAAGAAGGUGACUCUGUCAGGCCUGAUUCCAGCUCUUCUCAUCUCUGCAAACAGUUCAACUGCCUCAGUUGACAACCCGUGCAUUGCAAAACCUGAAAUUAUUGAUGUCCAUGACACCAAGUUUCUCCCAUCCAGCAUUUCAUGGAAAAUCUUGAGGGAGUUCUUUAUAGACCCAAUCUUGGCAUACAGGUCUAUGAGCGAAUUCCCAACUCGGAUAUCCAACACAAGAAGACCCUUCUUCUCACAAUAGCCGUGCAAUGUCUCGCCCAAAAGAAUCCUUCCAAUAUUAGAUACCGCAGGCACAACCGCUAACACGGUUAUCUCGCUUGGAUCAAUGCCUUCUGCCAUCAUGCGGCGAAAGAGAGCAACGGCCUCUACCGAGCGGCAGGAGCGCGUGUACCCAUCAAUCAUCCCGGUCCACGAGACAAUAUUCCUACAGGGCAUCCGCUCAAAGAGCAGCCUGGCGUACUCAACCUCGCCCCGCGCAGCAAACCCGGUGAUCAUCACGUUCCAAGUAACCGCAUUCUUCGCCGGCAUCUCGUCGAACGCACCACGAGAUUCCGCCAGGCACCCGCACACAACAUAGGCGUUGACCAGGGCGGUGUGCACAUAGGCGUGGAACUCGAACCCCUUGCGGACGGCAAGCCCGUGCAGCUGCGCGGCAGCCCGCGGCCACGCCAGGGCCGCGCAGGCCCCAAGGGCGUGCACGAAGGCGUAGGUGUCGUCGGCCGCGUGCCGGCGUGCGUCCCUGAAGAGGCUCAGGGCCUCCUGCGGGAGAGGGCCGCGGGAGUAGGCCUUGAGGAGCGCGUGCCACGGCGUGGGCCGCCGGUCGAACACCUGGCGGGCAACGAGCUGGGCGUGGAUCUGGAGGAGCGGGCGCCUCUCCGCCUGGUGCCUCAGGAGGAGGGCGACCAGGCCCCGGGCGUGGGCGGCGGCGGCGGCGGCAUGGAAGGGCGCGCAUCCCUGCCUCAGGAGGUCAGCCGGGAACCGCGCCAUGAGGGGGGCUCCGUCUUCUGCAGCCCUACCCAACGCCUCUCUCGUCUACUUAGAAUAUGUCAUGGUGCAAUGGAGAGAGAGAGAGAGAGAGAGAGAGAGGCAUUACCUUGUCUGGAGAGAAGAGGUGGAGGAGGCUGGACUCGAAAUCGUCCGAGGCUUUCUCCCUCCCGCGCCGGCGUCCAAGACAAAAAGAUUGUGUUUUUGCUUUCCCUUCCCGGGCGUACUACAUUGCUCUGUUGACAGUUGACACGAGGCAACUCGCCGCCCGAACCUCUCGUUCCUCGAUGUUGCGCAGGGUCCUCGCCGGAGCGAUCGCGCGCCUCUCCGGCCCCGGAUUCUCCAACCCACCGCCGAGGAGACGGCCUCUCCUCCCGCCCAACGCCCCGCGCCUCUCCACCGCGCGGGUGCCGUCCGGCGGCGGCGAGGGCAGCGAGGGGGAGGAUGACGACGACCCGUUCUCCUUCCCGGACCAGCAGCAGCUCCCGCCGGACGUGGCGCGCGGCGUGGACGCCGUCGUCGCGGCGGCCGAGGGCGCCCACCUGGACGCCGCGCGCGCCGGGGCGCUCCUGGAGCAAUGCGGCGCCGCGGCCUCGGAGACGCUCGUGGUGGCCGCGCUCUCGCGCCUCCGCAACAGCUGGGCCGCCGCGCACGCCGCAUUCCGGUGGGCCGCCGCGCGGGGGCGGCCGCAGCCCGGGUACGCCCCCGGGCGCCACGCGUGCCACUCCAUGCUCGCCAUCCUCGCCAGGCACCGCCGCUUCGACGACGCGCGCGCCCUGCUCGACGAAAUGCGCCGCAGGUCGCUCGCGUCGCCGAGGGCGGUGCUCCUCCUAAUCCGGCGCUACUGCGCCGCGCGGGACGUUGCUAGCGCGAUCGCCGCGUUCCGCGCACUCCCGAGCUUCGGCAUUGAGCCCGGGGUCGUCCAGUUCCAUGGCCUCCUCGGCGCCCUCUGCCGGUACAAGAACGUCAAGGACGCGGAGCACCUGCUUCUGUCCAGCGAGAGGGAGUUCCCGUUCGAGACCAAGGGCUUCAACAUCGUGCUCAACGGCUGGUGCAACAUGGUCUGCAGCGUGCGGGAGGCCAAGAGGUUUUGGACCGUCAUGGAGCUCAGGGGUGUCGCGAGGGACGUUGUGUCUUAUGGGAGUAUGAUCUCGUGCUUCUCGAAGGCUGGGAGCUUGGAUUCGGUCAUGAAGCUCUUUAACCGCAUGAAGGAGGCCGGCAUCGUGCCAGACCGGAAGGUGUACAAUGCAGUUGUGCACGCGCUCGCUAAGGGACGGUGUGUGGACGAGGCAAGGGCUCUUGUCCGGAGCAUGGAGGAGAAGGGGGUUACACCGGACACGGCCACUUACAACUCCCUCAUUCGGCCUCUUUGCAAGGCUCGUCAGGUCCAGGAGGCAAGGGAGAUGUUUGAUGAGAUGGUAGGAAGGGGGCUGUUGGCAUCAGUGAGGACAUUCCAUGCAUUGUUCGAUGUUGCUACGAGCCCCACUGAGGUCUUUGAUCUGUUGGAUAAGAUGAAGACACUGCAUUGCGAGCCAGAGAUGGACACUUAUAUUAUGUUGAUCCGGAAGUUCUGCAGGUGGAAGCAGCACGACAGUGUGGAGAAACUGUGGAACGCAAUGCCUGCAAACGGGCUGACCCCUGAUCGGAGUGCGUACAUUGUGUUCAUACAUGGAUUGUUCCUGAAUGGGAAGCUAGAGGAAGCUGCAAAGUAUUAUGAGGAGAUGAAAGCCAAGGGAUUUUCACCUGAGGAGAAGACUGAAUCAAUGAUACAGGCGUGGCGUUCAGGCAGAGAGCUCGCCAAGGCGUCAGCUUCUGCCGGUUCAAGAAGUGGUUCGGUGUCUCUCAAAGUAACUCGUAGAGAGUGGUAAAGAUGAAGACCACUUGGAAGUGAUCUAUAGAAACAGACAUGGGUGUCGUUUUGGAGUAACUGGUAAACUUUGGAGAGAGAUUAUUUGGUUAUUCCUAAAGAUGAGUCUGAUUACCCUUGAGUGAUCUUCAUCUACGUUGUUGUGGCCGGUUUGGUCAAGGAAGCCACGCUUGCAAGGGCCCUGACUUUCGUUAAGAGUUGUCAGCCAUGACCUCAGCUGAGGGUAUGCUGUUCGGUUUCCUUUGUUCAAGUCUGUAUCAAACUUUCUUCCUUCUAAUAGAAUGGGCAGAGCUCUGCCGUAUUCGAAAGUAGUAUGUUUGCCCAGUUAUUUUCAUUCUCACUAGAUUGCUUGGUUGUAGGUUGGAAUUAGAAAGUGCAAACUAUGGUUUAUCCUGUUUAAACUUGGAUAGGCAUCACUUUGCUGUAACCCUUCUUUUGUAGCUCAUACUCCCUCCGUCCGAAAAAGCUUGUCCCUCAAAUGGAUGUAUCUAGCACCAAGUUAGUGCUAGAUACAUCCAUUUGAGGGACAAGUUUGGGACAAGCUUUUUCGGACAGAGGGAGUAGUUUGUACUGGGUACAUGUUCAAUGAUUGGUUCACAACAUAUAAUGACUGUCCACCAUAUUCAUACUGGUCCGACUCGCAUACUUUCGCAUAAUAAUAUGGGCAGAUAUUUUAGCUUUACAAAAUAUAAUGACGAAUACAGCUCAUUUCAUAUGGUUUGAUACUAAAUACUCCCUCCGUUCCUAAAUAUAAGUCUUUUAAGAGAUUCCAUUACAAACUACAUACGGAUAUAUAUAGACAUGUUUUAGACUUUAGAUUCACUCAUUUUGCUCCGUAUGUAGUCCAUGGUGGAAUCUCUAAAUAGACUUAUACUCCCUCCGUUCCUAAAUACAAGUCUUUUUAGAGAUUCCACUACAAACUACAUACGGAUGUAUAUAGACAUAUUUUAGAGUGUAGGUUCACUCAUUUUGCUCCGUAUGUAGUCUAUAAUGGAAUCUCUAGAAAGACUUAUAUUUAGGAACGGAGGAAGUAUUUAGGAACGGAGGGAGUACACAUUUUCAGUAUGUAUCUGUAUUCAAUAUUAGCAGUUACAUUUUCAUGCUUACAACAAUUCCAUUAGUUUACUGGCAUAUUCACAUGUAACCAUUUAGUGACCACUGAUCCCACUGCAGAAUCCGCCGCUGUCUGAAGCUUUAGGUUACAAUUUUCUUCUUGGCAAACAUAUUUUUCUCUUUCUGUCAGCUAGCCAUUGCAACCUUUCUGAUAGCAUUAAUUCAGUGCAUGUGCACACUAAAUAGUCCAGCUACAGGAGCACAUUGGAUCGAAGCUGGAGCGGGUUGCUGCCAGCCUGCUUGUAAUCAAUGAAUCUGUUGAUUCUGAGGUGAGCGUCUACCAGAAUUCCAGUUAUAUCUGAUCAGUUAGGUGUUAUUUUCUCUGCUAUCACGCGGCUUCAGUUAGGCCUAGUGGCUAGUGGAUUUGAUCAUACCGACGAUAAUAUGGUAUGAGCCAAAAAUUUAUCUUCGCAUGUGAUGUUUCAAGACCUUUCUGUAAUAUCCUGUAGGAUAUCCCUGCUAACAGCAAGUGGCUUGUUCUGUCAGUUGUCACUACAUAUAUCCUGAUCUCUGUUAUGCAGUCCAGUCUCCAAAAGAUGGUGUUGAUGCAAGUUGCUUUAGAUUUUGUUGAUAAGACGAUGACUGGUAAUGGAUACAGUUAUGGUGAAAACAACUUGCUUUCUCUGUACAAGCUACAGCCAACUGAGCCAUGCUUGUCAUGCUAGUGCCCACUGUCAAUUUCAUGGCAUCUUAUAGCUGCUAGCCUGCAAGUGUCGCUAACUCAUAUGACUCAUGAUGCAGACUAACAUGGUGCAUGAUCACGUCCCAACUUUAACCGAUAGCUGCGUGGUCGACUACCAGUUGCAGUCUGCCUGUUCAUGUAUGCACUGAAUGUUACCAUUAUACUGUUAAUAUCUGAACCCACUGUAACCAAAUUCGGAUAAACACUGAAUAUAUUUUUGAAAACAAUUGGAAGAGGUGAAAAAUGAAAUAUCAGCUGUGAAAUAAUCAUAUAUUACCUCCGUCCCAAAUUACUUGUUUCUAGAUACAGAUGUAUCUAACACUAAAACUGUCUAUAUACGUCCGGUCUAGAUACAUCCGUAUCUAGACAAAUCCAAGACAAGUAAUACAGGACGGAGGGAGUAUAUGUUUCAGAUUGAUCAAGGGUCAGAAGAACAAGUUUGGUGUUUAGGCUUGAUAUUAUUAUGAGAAUAAAACCACAUGUUUGUUCAGAAUACCAAAUUUACAGAUCGAAACCAAAGAAUAAAUACUGCUACAAGCCUACCACCACAUCUUCAGAAUCAUGCCUGGGAAAUUUCUACCUCUUUCUAGUUCAACAAAGUAAGUAUUUGUCUAAUCACUUCUAUUUCCAAUAAUUUACACCAGAUCUUUCUUGUUCCAUCUCAGAAUGGUGGCAAGAUUGUUUGCCACAUCGGCCUCAUCAUCUGCGGCGAGCUCAUCGGCUGCAGGUAGCCGCUGCCGUUCUGCCCAGGCAUCGUCGCCGGGUUCACCAUCUGCCCCAUGUUCAUAUAACAAGUCUGCAGGUCGUCCAUACUCAGGCCGGUGAACCAGUCGCUGUCCUCCUUCACCGUCACCAUGCCGCCCCUCGGCUGCCCCUGCGCCAUGUCCAUGAAGCCGUGCUGCUGCAGGCCGGAGGCGCUGUCGAUCUCCGAGGAGUCGUGCGUCUGGAAGCUGUCAGACAUGGCGUCGGUCGCCAACGCGUCCAUGACCUCCCCGUUCGGCCCGGCCUCCACAGCCAUGUCCUGCUCCACCUUGAGCUUCUCCCAGUUGUUCUUCUUGUUGUACAGCCGGCACAGCACCCAUUCGUCCAACUGCAAUAGCCGCACAUCACAGAAAGAGAAGAUCAGUAUUCAGUAUUGAUCGAUCAGAAUUGUUGGUGAGCAAACUGCAAAGUGGAAGACGCCGGGGUUACCUUGAGGGACCCCUUCUUGCCGGGCGCGCGGUCGGCUUCGGCGAUGCGGUACUCGUGCAUGAUCCAGUCGGUCUUGACGCCCCUGGGCGCCCUGCCGGAGUAGAAGACGAGCGCCUUCUUGAUGCCGACCGUCCGGCCGCCGCUCUCCUUGGGCGCCACGGGCUUGUCGGCGCCCGUGGCCUUCCAGUAGCCGGUGCCGGCGGAGCGGUUGGGGCGCGAGCCGUUGGGGUACUUGCGGUCGCGCGGCGUGAAGAAGUACCACUCCCUGCUCCCGAACAGCGCCCUCUCUGCACGAACGCAAAGGUCAGCACGGCACACAUUGAACCAAGAAGGAGGAAGGAGAAGAGAAAACAGGGGAGAAGGCGCACCGGGCAGAUCCCAGGGGUUGAACUUGUAGAGAUCGACCUCGGCGAUGAUGGGCACGGGCUGCGGCUGGCCGGCCACCUUCCUGCAGAGGUAGUGCACGACGAGCUCGUCGUCCGUGGGGUGGAAGCGGAAGCCCGGCGGCAGGUUGAGCUCCGCCUCCGCGUCCCUCCGCCCGCUGCUCCCCUCCGCCGCCGCCGCCGCCGUCGUCGACUCGGCCUUCACCAUUGCCGUCAUCAUUCUCCUCCCCGCGCUCGCUCGCUGCACCACCUCCCAGAAAACCCCGGCCCUCGCGCGGUCGUGCCGCGGUGUUGGAAGAGAAGAGAAGAGAAGAGAAAGGCGGCUGGUUGUGAUACCGCCUCCUGGGACCUGGAGCCUUCUCUUUUGUUGAUGGCUCGUUUCCUUGGCGACCAAGUACGUUUGUAGGGUGGGGCGCCCGGGGCGGCUAUAUACGGGCCCCCGCCCGCGCCACGUGGGCCGUGGCGGGCCCGCGCGUGUCCCCGAGCUGCUCGUGGGCUUCGUUGUUUGGAUGAGGAGGACGGCCAUGCGCUGCUGCGCGGAAGUUUCCCGCGGCGACAAGAGUUUGACCCUCCCGACGGCCGGGCUGAAAGGGACGGAAGGGUCAAAAGCGCGCGGGGGCGACAUCCGGGAGGGAUUUUCCGGCGGGAAAAUAUAUCCCCGCGACCACCCCGGCGGCUCGUCGAAUGGCCGUGCGUCUAGGUGGUGCGUCGGCGGGCGCGGGCUGGUCCUCUGUGUUCUGGACCUCUCAUCUGCAUUGCGGCACGUGCGGAUUGUGCUUCUUGGCUGUGAGCUGCGGCAGCCAUGAACGAACGUACGAGGACACGAGGUUACGAUCGGCGCAUGACAUGCAUGAAGGUUUUCCAUCGCGCCUUGGAUUUUUCUCCGGGGAAAACUUUUAAAGGUUGAGGGAUCACGCUAGCUAUCUAGAACGCUAGAUGGCCCUUCGAAGAUGCCAUUGUUUAGUUUCAGCCUAUAAACGUGGAAAAAAAAACGUGGAUAUGAACCAUCCUUUACGACGGGUAGCUUAAACAUGAGGGAACGCAAGCGUGCCUGUUAUGUUUAUAGUUAAGUGACCCAUUGCGAACCAACCUGUGGUUGGAUGGUUAGAGGGACAGUGUUAUCCCCAACCCACCAGGAUUCAAGUCCGCUUUUCGUGGGAGGAGACGAUUCAGUCGACGACGAGACGCGUAUAGUGACUUCGUAAAUCUCAAGAUGAUAUGCCAGCUCGGUCUCUUGAAAGUGCUUAUAGGAGUAGAGUGUGCAUGUGUGCGUUCGUAGGGCUGGGUGUAUGCGCAUAUGUAUGAGCGUUUGCGUCUGUACUAUGUGCUUUUGUAGGCUAAAUUUAAAAAAGAAAAACGUCAAUGGAGCAUAAGAUAUUUUUUGAUAGUUUAAUAUGGACUACAUACAGAUUGAAACGAGUAACAAACACAUUAAAACGUGUCUACGUACAUCUAGGUUACAACAUCUUAUGUUCAUGAACGAAGGAAGUACAUACGACAUUUGUAUUGCGUAUAACAUGGAUUAUUGCCGUCCUAUAACAUAGUUAAUUCCCAUGUCGGACACAGAAGGAUAUGCUUGGAACACUAUUUAUCUUCGCAAUUCAUAAUUCUCAUGUCGAUCGACAGAACAGAAGGAUAUGCUUAGAACAUCACAACAUUUAAACAAUUCAAGUUCCUCGAAAAGAAAUUUUAAACAAUUCGAGAGGAUAAUACUCAAGCUUGGCCUGUUCAUACCGAAGCAUACCUAGUGCCAUCUGUUUACCUAGUCAGGGACACCUAGAGAGACAGCCAGAGUAGGUGUAUCUCCUCUUAGUUAUCUGUAGUAAAAUAAAGAAACCUGGCCCCAAUCUGCACGUGCCUCCCUCCUCCUGGAUGGCCAUCCCAUCUACGUGCGCUGAACCUGAACCUUACCCGGGUGCGCCUCCAGCCGCGACGGCGGGGUGGGGUGGCGAGCAAAUCCUCGACUCGGCGGAGGUGCGGUUGGUCGGCCAGCCGUAUGGCAGAUAAAAGAAAAAGCACAGCGCCUUGUCGACGGCCGAGGUUUCUCAUUCCCCCGGCGGUGGACUACGGUAUGAAAUUGGAGCCGAAAAGGACGGACGGGCCGUCGGGCGGGCGGCCAGUUCCGGGGAAAGCGAUGAACUUUUUGUCGUGGUGACAGUGAGCUUCCGUUUUCCCAUGGGCCAAAACUGGGUUGGGCUGGGGAUUUUCUUCAGUUUAAUUUACAGAUUGCCGUGUUCAUUUGCUGUCAGGUUACCGCACUUGGUAUCGCACAGCUGGUGACUGCCGGGAUUAGCUGUCAUCCGGUGAGUAGCAUGUCGCGUUGCAUACAUCACUGGCCGUGUCUCAGCUAUCGGAAUGACAGGGAGCACUCGAGAUAUUAUCCACCGAUGCUUUGGUGGGCGCUCGAUAGAUUUAUGUGGAAGCUUUCUUUCUGUUUUGUUCCAUAAACUAUUGCGGAAAUUGAGAUUAAGACAUGUGGGAGGAGGUGUGUGGGCAAGUUAACUGCAUUUCGGCAUCGUAGUUGAUUUUACUUUGUGGUGCGCUUUCAGAAAAUGAAAACCAAGUUACCACCGGCUUGCCAAACAGGGGAGUAUCCAAACUCCACACCACAGCCAGCAGUGUCGACGUUGGGGCUAUAUAGAGCCCAGUCCGGAGUGACGGUUCUGUAAUUGGCAAAGUCGUCAUCAGAGACAGAUUCGGCAGGGCAUUCUCGGCUAUUUUCUCUAGCUAGGGUUGAUUCAGUCUUUCCGAUUCGGUGUCCUAGUGCUUUCCUUCUUGUCCGACUCCAUCACCAUGCGCUUGUGUCCUUGCUUGCGAUCGUCUCCCUCGGUACCGUCUCUCGGGAUCGGGGUGUCAGUUUUUUUUCUCCAGUUCUCGAUCCAAACACAUCAAUGUAAGCCUUUCGCGUGUGCUAGGGCACGCGGCCGUACACCACCCCACCUACAUCGUCUAUGAGCGUUCCAUGGAGAACGUGACUGUCACAUGCGGAGAAAAAGGUCGUAUGAAUAAUUGUCGUUGCGGACCAACCUGCGGUUAGAUGGUUAUAGGAGGACAUUGAUAUUCUAAGCCCACCAGGGUUCAAGUCCUAGACUUGACAUUGGUGCUCGCAUUAUUUCUGAAUUUAUUUCAGGCUUCCGGCCAUGUUCGUUCAGUGGGAGGAGACGUUUCCGCCGACCACGAGGCGCCUAUGGUAACUUCGUAAAAUCUGAAGAUGCUAUGCCGGCUCAAUCUCUCGGAGAUGCUCAUAAGGGUAGAGUGUGCGUGCGUGCGUUCAUAGGGGUGAGUGUAUGCUGGUGUAUGUGAGCAACUUCAAUUGUACAGUGUCCAUAAAAAAGGGAAGGAUUGUCGUUUAUGAAAUGAGACUCGAGGAUAAGGAAGAUAUUCAUUGUCAAUCAUCUCAACACAAAGAUUAUUGGAGCUUACAAAGUCACAUGUGAUAAUUAGAAGACCCCAAGUGAGGACAACUCCAAGGAGGUCUCUAGUGAAGAAUUUGGUCUUAUGAACCACAACUUCAACAAGAUGUACUCCAAAAACAAAUUCAAGACCAACGACCGCAACUACUCAAGAUCAAGGAAAGAGUGGCACGAGGUCUAGCCUAAAGGAGAGGCAUUGUAAUAGUUUUGGACAAUCCAGAUUCUUCAUUACCAAUUGUCAUGAAUCUACCAAGAAGAAUGCAGGAUCUCCAAGAAGAGAAAGAAUGGGCAAUGAUGUCAUGAAAGAAACAAGAUACUAGACAGACAUGGAUGCACAGAGAAAGGCGAAUACCCCCAAGAUAUACUCCAAGUGCAAGUCAAACACAAAUAUUGGUGAAUGGGUAUCCAACUCCAAAUCCGAGUCAAACUACUACAUUGGCUUCUUUUAGUGAUGAUGAAGGUGUUGCCGUAAUUGAACUGGUCGCCACCAAGCCUAAGUAUUUAUUUGACUCUCCAAAUGAAGGUGGUGGAUCUUCAAGAUGCUUCAUGGCCAAUGGCCCUAAGUUAACACAUCCCCCGAGUUCAUUGAUUUUAAUAGCGAUGUAGAUGAUUUGCUUGAUGAAGAGGAAGUUGACAUUUUGAGUUACGACACACUUGCUAAAAUGCGUGAGAAGCAAGAAGAGUUUCUUAUAAUGCGAGGAGCAAAAAUGAGGCUCUGACUAGUGAGCUUGAAAAACUCAAGUCAAAAUACCAAUUCAUGCCCAUGGUCAUAAAGAGACUUUGAAAGAUUGAGAGGCUGGACCUCGAGAUGCUCAACUUGAAGCAAAAUCAUGAUUACCUCAAAGCCCUUAAUGACAAUCUUCAGCCUAUGAGUGCAUCUCAUAUUUCUAAGAAACUCCUAGCCGCUCAAUACAUACCACAAGCCUCAACUCAAAUCACUUGAAAUGGCUCAAACCAUGCACCUACUUCAUCAUCGAACAUAAUUCCACAGAUUUCUAGAUCCUCGCAUAUCAUGGCACCAAAUGUGCAUGUUUAUGUGGAUUCACCUAACUCUUAUCUUAACCAAGUUGCAUUUGAGAAAAAAAUGCUAUAUUGAAGGGAAUCCUAGAAAAGAGAUUUUAUAAGAGCAUCAUAGGAAGCUAGAAACUCAAUGAGAUCUAGUGCAAGCAAGGACAACAUCGUCGCAAUGAUAGUGUUGGUUUCGAGAAUUUAUUUAUUUUGUUUGAGCUUCAGGAACCAGAUUCAGCUUUGCUAGUGAAGCUGAAUAUCGAAUCUGAAACAAACAACUAUUUUGAAUUAGCUUUGUCAGUGUAGCCAGCUUUGCUAGUGAAACUAGAUCUCGAAUUUGAGACAAACUGCUAUUUGGAACCAGCUUUGCCAAUGAAGCUGAAUCUGUAUUCAACCCAUUUUUAGUGCAAUUUGCCGAAGCACCUCAAAGUGUACUUCGGUGGCAAAGCUGAUUCUGCGAAUCAACUUUGUCACUGAACUACAGGUGAUUCGAAUCCUAUCAAAGCUGAAAUAAAUAAGGAAUUAUAUCACUGUGAAUCAGCUCCGCCACUUAACCAAAUCCACAAUUGAUUGGAAUCUUGUCAAAACUGAAACAAAUAGGGCCUAUAUAUCUUGUAAAAUAAAUAUCCACACAAAAAUCAUGUGAUGAGAAAUUUAGGAAUAUGUAAAAAAAAUGUUUGUUAGAUUUAAAAUGAAAACGUAUAUUUGGUUGGGUGAAAAGUGUGAAUUAUAUAUGUGACACCACCAUUUGCUUGCAUCUAAAAAGGGAUUUGAAGUGACUCUUUUCAGAAAGUCGUAUGCUUGGCUCUAAACUAAUGUGGCCCCAAAUGACUCAUGGAUAAAAUAUGCUGAAGAAACAACUUAAAAAACAACUAACAUAGCAAACUAAGUACCAAAAGGAGACACAACUUGAUUGUUGAGAUCCAUAUCAACCAACACAAUCCCCAACGGAGCCAAGUUGGAUGUUGGUAGUCAAGCCUAAAGGGACGCAAAGGAAUGAUCACAUAUUUUUUCACCAUAGAAUGACCAUCCCACGUUGUGAUAGCUUCCAUCUCCAUGCCAAAGAGGGUCACAUGCCCUCCCGCCCUGGCUUGAAGGGUGCCACAUAACCAGCCAACAGAGUCACGCACCCUAGAGCUUGAAUGGAAGAAAAUGACAAAGUUGCCAUGGAGCCGAACCUAGCAUGACCACACACCUGGCCGAGCUCGCAGCAAGAGCAGCACCGCUGUCGCAACAGGACCACUUGAUCUGAUGUGUCACAGAGGACAAAGUAGUAGCACCAAAGGAAAGAGACGACACCAUCAUCGCCUAAAGCUAGGUCCCGCAGAGCAAUGCUACCUACUUUCGCCAUCCUCGACCCGCCGUUGUUUGCCGGAGAAGAACCAUAUCCCUUCUCUCCCAGAAUGAGGGUACGAACCACACAUAAGGGGCAAAGAGCACUCACAGAUGUAGGUUGGGAGAGACACAGGGGGCCAAGCCACCGUUGUACCCAUUGCGUAUGACCCUACUCGCUCACAAACUCUUUGUCUCAAGGAGGAUCCUCCAAGAAGGUUAACAUGUUGGAGCACAGUUGCCACCCAAUCCGAGAAGGACUUUGGGUNNNNNNNNNNNNNNNNNNNNNNNNNNNNNNNNNNNNNNNNNNNNNNNNNNNNNNNNNNNNNNNNNNNNNNNNNNNNNNNNNNNNNNNNNNNNNNNNNNNNNNNNNNNNNNNNNNNNNNNNNNNNNNNNNNNNNNNNNNNNNNNNNNNNNNNNNNNNNNNNNNNNNNNNNNNNNNNNNNNNNNNNNNNNNNNNNNNNNNNNNNNNNNNNNNNNNNNNNNNNNNNNUGGCACCUCCAAGCCCCAUUGCGCGUCACAAUCGAAACCCCAACAGUAUCACCCUACCCCUCAGGCGCAAUCCACCCUAGUCCUUGUCCUAGAUUUGGUAGCCAGAAGCACAAAUCUGAAUCCUUGGAGCAGAAGAGCUUAGUGGAAUGAUGACCUUCACAACAGGCACAUGAGGAUGAUGGACCACCACACACGCGGCGACCAACACCCGUCCCCUUCACCACUGGCACGGCCAAUAUGAUCAACUAGCAUUUGCGCACGUCAUGUGUCGCAAGGUGAGCACCUCCCACCUCCUCGAGGCCGCCACCUCAAAUGCAAAGGUCCACCAUGAGACCGCGAUGCAAGGAGGUCCCAUCCACCUUUAGUUACGCGCACCCAAGCUUGCCUGCCAUUUGCCUGUUGCGGCACUGGGGAGGGGGCGAGGGGUGUAGCAACAAGGAUGACGUGAGUGCCAAGAGUGGUUUUCAUUCGAAAGUGAAUUACUCGCUCUGCUUUGAAUUAAUUGAAUUUCUAGCUUUGUUCUAUGUCAAACUUAUUUAAGUUUGAUAUAUGGAAAGCACACUAUACGCUUGGUAACACUUAAAUGUUUGACUUAAUAUAAAUUUGGAACUUUUAUUGAUGUGGAACUAAGGAAAUACUAUUUGUUCAUAGUAUUAUCGUCCUCUCUUAAAUAGAGGCCCAAAUGCACAAGCUGCCUGAGAUCUAAUGGUUGAUACGUCUCCAACGUAUCUAUAAUUUUUGAUUGCUUCAUGCUAUAUUAUAUUCUGUUUUGGAUGAUUAAUGGGCUUUGUUAUACACUUUUAUAUUAUUUUUGGGACUAACCUAUUAACCGGAGGCCCAGCCCAGACUUGCUGUUUUUUUGCCUAUUUCAGAGUUUCGCAGAAAAAGAAUAUCAAACGGAGUCCAAACGGAAUGAAACCUUCGGGAACAUGAUUUUCGGAACGAACGUGAUCCAGAGGACUUGGACCCUACGUCAAGACAUCAACCAGGAAGGCACGAGGUAGGGGGGCGCGCCUACCCCCCUGGGCGCGCCCUCCACCCUCGUGGGGCCCACGUUGCUCCACCGACGUACUUCUUCCUCCUAUAUAUACCUACGUACCCCCAAACCAAUAGAAGCAUCCAUGAAAACCUAAUUCCACCGCCGCACCCUUCUGUACCCGUGGGAUCCGAUCUUGGGGCCUUUUCCGGCGUCCUGCCGGAGGGGGCAUUGAUCACGGAGGGCUUCUACAUCAACACCAUAGCCUCUCCGAUGAUGUGUGAGUAGUUUACCUCAGACCUUCGAGUCCAUAGUUAUUAGCUAGAUGGCUUCUUCUCUCUUUUUGGAUCGCAAUACAAUGUUCUCCCCCUCUCUUGUGGAGAUCUAUUCGAUGUAAUCUUAUUUUGCGGUGUGUUUGUUGAGACCAAUGAAUUGUGGGUUUAUGAUCAAGUUUAUCUAUGAACAAUAUUUGAAUCUUCUCUGAAUUCUUUUAUGUAUGAUUGGUUAUCUUUGCAAGUCUCUUCGAAUUAUCAGUUUGGUUUGGCCUACUAGAUUGAUCUUUCUUGCAAUGGGAGAAGUGCUUAGCUUUGGGUUCAAUCUUGCGGUGUCCUUUCCCAGUGACAGUAGGGGCAGCAAGGCACAUAUUGUAUUGAUUCCAUCGAGGAUAACAAGAUGGGGUUUAUAUCAUAUUGCAUGAGUUUAUCCCUCUACAUCAUGUCAUCUUACUUAAAGCGCUACUCUGUUCUUUUGAACUUAAUACUCUAGAUGCAUGCUGGAUAGCGGUCGAUGUGUGAAGUAAUAGUAGUAGAUGCAUGCAGGAGUCGGUCUACUUGUCGCGGACGUGAUGCCUAUAUACAUGAUCAUACCUAGAUAUUCUCAUAACUAUGAUCAAUUCUAUCAAUUGCUCAACAGUAAUUUGUUUACCCACCGUAAUACUUAUGCUCAUGAGAGAAGCCACUAGUGAAACCCAUGGCCCCCGAGUCUAUUUUCCGUCAUAUUAAUCUCCCGAACACAAGUUAUUUCUUUUGCCGUUUAUUUUGCUUUCUUUACUUUGCAUCUUUAUCAUAAAAAUACCAAAAAUAUUAUCUUAUCAUAUCUAUCAGAUCUCACUUUCGUAAGUGACCGUGAAGGGAUUGACAACCCCUUUAUUGUGUUGGUUGCGAGGAUUUUAUUUGUUUGUGUAGGUGCGAGGGACUCGUGUGUGGCCUCCUACUGGAUUGAUACCCUGGUUCUCAAAAACUGAGGGAAAUACUUACGCUACUUUACUGCAUCAUCCUUUCUUCUUCAAGGGAAAACCAACGCAGUGCUCAAGAGGUAGCAAGAAGGAUUUCUGGCGCCGUUGCCGGGGAGGCUUACGCAAGGUCAAGUCAAGAUUUGAGCUCCCAUCAAGGAGCCAUUUCUGGUGCCGCUGCCGGGGAGUCUACGCAAAAGUCAACAUACCAAGUACCCAUCACAAACCCUUAUCUCCCGCAUUACAUUAUUUUCCAUUUGCCUCUCAUUUUCCUCUCCCCCACUUCACCCUUGCCGUUUAUUCGCCCUCUCUUUUCCGUUCACCUCUUUUUCGCGUGCUUCUUGUUUGCUCGUGUGUUGGAUCGCCAUCUUGUCGUUAUGGCUAGUCCCAUAUCUUCUCCGUUGUCUCCCGAAAAUGAAGUUCUUAAUUUUAAGCAAAGGGAAGGAGAAAAUCUAAAAGACGCUUGGUAUAGAAUUUGCAAUGCUCAAAAUAGAUCUACCAGGAAGCAAUCUACUUCCAUUCUUCUCUGCAAUUUUUAUGUAGGCGCUACUCCUUGGUACAAAUAUAUCCUUGAUACCAUUACCGGAGGGAAUUUCUUGGGUAGCCAUACUUUUGAUUCUUAUAAUGCUAUGAUAGAUUUGUUUGGCUCACCACCUCUUUUGGUUAAUGAAACUAUGUUAACUUUGGAGCAUGUAAUGCAAAGACUUGAAAUAAUUGAAAAUAAAGUUGCUACCGUAGAGUUAAUUGAAAAUUUGGAUAAAAAGAUCCACAACCAAAUUACCCAAUAUGGAUCUGAAGUAGGAGUCAUUUUGAAAAAUAUUAGGGAGAAGGAACCCAUAGUUAAUGAAAGAUAAAUCAGGAUUCCACUAGAAUCGAUAAACUUGAGGGUAUCAUUACCAACUUGGGAACCUCUUUUUCUUCCGUAAAGAAUACUCCAAGUCCUCCAACUAAAAUUGCCAAGCUUAUGUAUGUUCCUAAAAAUAAGGGUGAAUCCUCUAGCAAGGAAACUGCGGAACUCAAAUCUAUAAGUAUUCAUCCCAAUCUUUUUGCUAUCAUUAAGGAACCAUUUGCUACAAAUGAUUUUUUCAAUUUUGUGCCUAGAAGUUUGAUUAUUAAUAAAAAGAAAGAAAUUCCUAAGGGUGAUAGAUGUCUCAUUAAACAAUUGCCUACCAAAGAUGGCAAUACCUAGAUCUAUCCUUGCUAUUAUGCCUAGCUAGGGGCGUUAAACGAUAGCGCUUGUUGGGAGGCAACCCAAUUUUAUUUUUAUUUUUUUGCUUUUUGCUUCUGUUUAGGAAUAAAUCUUUGAUCUAGCCUCUGGUUAGAUGCGUUUUUAUGUUUUAAUUAGUGUUUGUGCCAAGUUAAACCUAUAGGAUCUUCUUGGAUGAUAGUUAUUUGAUCUUCCUGAAAAUUCUAGAAACUUUCUAUUCACGAAAAUAAUUGUUAAAAAUCAUCAGAACAUGAUAAAAUAUUGAUUCCAAUUGCUGCUGAUCAAUAAACAAAUUGUCUAGGUCGUCCUAUUUUUUCUGAGUUUUUGGAUUCCAGAAGUUUGCGUUAGUUACAGAUUACUACAGACUGUUCUGUUUUUGACAGAUUCUGUUUUUCGUGUGUUGUUUGCUUAUUUUGAUGAAUCUAUGGCUAUUAAAAUAGUUUAUAAACCAUAGAGAAGUUGGAAUACAGUAGGUUUAACACCAAUAUAAAUAAAGAAUGAGUUCAUUACAGUACCUUGAAGUGGUGUUUUGUUUUCUUUCGCUAACGGAGCUCACGAGAUUUUCUGUUAAGUUUUGUGUUGUGAAGUUUUCAAGUUUUGGGUAAAAUAUUUGAUGGAUUAUGGAACAAGGAGUGGCAAAAGCCUAAGCUUGGGGAUGCCCAUGGCACCCCAAGAUAAUCUAAGGACACCAAAAAGCCAAAGCUUGGGGAUGCCCCGGAAGGCAUCCCCUCUUUCGUCUACUUCCAUCGGUAACUUUACUUGGAGCUAUAUUUUUAUUCACCACAUGAUAAGUGUUUUGCUUGGAGCGUUUUGUAUGAUUUGAGUCUUUGCUUUUUAGUUUACCACAAUCAUCUUUGAUGUACACACCUUUUGAGAGAAACACACAUGAUUCGGAAUUUAUUAGAAUACUCUAUGCGCUUCACUUAUAUCCUUUGAGCUAUAUAGUUUUUGCUCUAGUGCUUCACUUAUAUCUUUUAGAGCACGGCAGUGGAUUUAUUUUAUAGAAACUAUUAUUCUCUCAUGCUUCACUUAUAUUAUUUUGAGAGUCUUAAACAUCAUGGUAAUUUGCUUAAAUUGGGAAAUUAAUCCUAAUAUGCUAGGUAUUCAAGACUAAAAAAAACUUUCUUAUGAGUGUUCUGAAUACUAAGAUAAGUUUGAUGAUUGAUGAUUGUUUUGAGAUAUGGAGGUAGUGAUAUUAAAGUUGUGCUAGUUGAGUAGUUGUGAAAUUGAGAAAUACUUGUGUUGAAGUUUGCAAGUCCCGUAGCAUGCACGUAUGGUAAACGUUAUGUAACAAAUUUGAAACAUGAGGUGUUCUUUGAUUGUCUUCCUUAUGAGUGGCGGUCAGGGAUGAGCGAUGGUGUUUUCCUACCAAUCUAUCCCCCUAAGAGCAUGCGCGUAGUGCUUGGUUUUUGAUGACUUGUAGAUUUUUGCAAUAAGUAUGUGAGUUCUUUAUGACUAAUGUUGAGUCCAUGGAUUAUACGCACUCUUACCCUUCCAUCAUUGCUAGCCUCUUCGGUACCGUGCAUUGCCCUUUCUCACAUUGAGAGUUGGUGCAAACUUCGCCGGUGCAUCCAAACCCCGUGAUAUGAUACACUCUUUCACACAUAAACCUCCUUAUAUCUUCCUCAAAACAACCACCAUAUCUACCUAUUAUGGCAUUUCCAUAGCCAUUCCGAGAUAUAUUGCCGUGCAACUUUCCACCAUUCCGUUUAUCAUGACACGUUCAUCAUCGUCAUAUUGCUUUGCAUAAUCAUGUAGUUGACAUCGUAUUUGUGGCAAAGCCACCGUUCAUAAUUUUUCAUACAUGUCACUCUUGAUUCAUUGCUAUCCCGGUAUACCGCCGGAGGCAUUCAUAUAGAGUCAUACUUUGUUCUAGUAUCGAGUUGUAAUCAUUGAGUUGUAAAUAAAUAGAAGUGUGAUGAUCAUCAUUCGAGUAUUGCCCCCCCCAAAAAAAGAAAGGCCAAAAAAAGGAAGGCCAAAAAAAGAAAAUAAGAAGGGACAAUGCUACUAUCCUUUUUUCCACACUUGUGCUUCAAAGUAGCACCAUGAUUUUCAUGAUAGAGAGUCUCUUGUUUUGUCACUUUCAUAUACCAGUGGGAAUUUUUCAUUAUAGAACUUGGCUUGUAUAUUCCAACAAUGGGCUUCCUCAAAUGCCCUAGGUCUUCGUGAGCAAGCAAGUUGGAUCCACACCCACUUAGUUUCUUUUGUUGAGCUUUCAUGCAUUUAUAGCUCUAGUGCAUCCGUUGCAUGGCAAUCCCUACUCCUUGCAUUAACAUCAAUCGAUGGGCAUCUCCAUAGCCCGUUGAUUAGCCGCGCUGAUGUGAGACUUUCUCCUUUUUUGUCUUCUCCACAUAACCCCCAUCAUUAUAUUCUAUUCCACUCAUAGUUCUAUAUCCAUGGCUCACGCUCAUGUAUUGUGUGAAGGUUGAAAAAGUUUGAGAUUACUAAAGUAUGAAACAAUUGCUUGGAUUGUCAUCGGGGUUGUGCCUGAUGAUAGCAUUCUUGUGUGAAGAGAAUGGAGCAUGACUAAACUAUAUGAUUUUGUAGGGAUGAACUUUCUUUGGCCAUGUUAUUUUGAGAAGACAUAAUUGCUUAGUUAGUAUGCUUGAAGUAUUAUUGCUUUUAUGUCAAUAUUAAACUUUUAUCUUGAAUCUUUCGGAUCUGAAUAUUCAUACCACAAUUAAGAGGGUUACAUUAAAAAAUUAUGCUAAGUAGCAUUCCGCAUCGAAAAUUCUGUUUUUAUCAUUUACCUACUCGAGGACGAGCAGGAAUUAAGCUUGGGGAUGCUUGAUACGUCUCCAACGUAUCUAUAAUUUUUGAUUGCUUCAUGCUAUAUUAUAUUCUAUUUUGGAUGAUUAAUGGGCUUUGUUAUACACUUUUAUAUUAUUUUUGGGACUAACCUAUUAACCGGAGGCCCAGCCCAGAAUUGUUGUUUUUUGCCUAUUUCAGAGUUUCGCAGAAAAAGAAUAUCAAACGGAGUCCAAACGGAAUGAAACCUUCGGGAACGUGAUUUUCGGAACGAACGUGAUCUAGAGGACUUGGACCCUACGUCAAGACAUCAACCAGGAAGGCAUGAGGUAGGGGGGCGCGCCUACCCCCCCGGGCGCACCCUCCACCCUCGUGGGGCCCACGUUGCUCCACCGACGUAUUUCUUCCUCCUAUAUGUACCUACGUACCCCCAAACCAGCAGAAGCAUCCACGAAAACCUAAUUCCACCGCCGCAACCUUCUGUACCCGUGAGAUCCCAUCUUGGGGCCUUUUCCAGCGUCCUGCCGGAGGGGGCAUUGAUCACGGAGGGCUUCUACAUCAACACCAUAGCCUCUCCGAUGAUGUGUGAGUAGUUUACCUCAGACCUUCGGGUCCAUAGUUAUUAGCUAGAUGGCUUCUUCUCUCUUUUUGGAUCUCAAUACAAUGUUCUCCCCCUCUCUUGUGGAGAUCUAUUCGAUGUAAUCAUCUUUUGCGGUGUGUUUGUUGAGACCGAUGAAUUGUGGGUUUAUGAUCAAGUUUAUCUAUGAACAAUAUUUGAAUCUUCUCUGAAUUCUUUUAUGUAUGAUUGCUUAUCUUUGCAAGUCUCUUCGAAUUAUCAUUUUGGUUUGGCCUACUAGAUUGAUCUUUCUUGCAAUGGGAGAAGUGCUUAGCUUUGGGUUCAAUCUUGCGGUGUCCUUUCCUAGUGACAGUAGGGGCAGCAAGGCACAUAUUGUAUUGAUUCCAUCGAGGAUAACAAGAUGGGGUUUAUAUCAUAUUGCAUGAGUUUAUCUCUCUACAUCAUGUCAUCUUACUUAAAGCGUUACUCUGUUCUUUUGAACUUAAUACUCUAGAUGAUGCUGGAUAGCGGUCGAUGUGUGGAGUAAUAGUAGUAGAUGCAGGCAGGAGUCUGUCUACUUGUCGCGGACGUGAUGCCUAUAUACAUGAUCGCACCUAGAUAUUCUCAUAACUAUGCUCAAUUCUAUCAAUUGCUCAACAGUAAUUUGUUUACCCACCGUAAUACUUAUGCUCAUGAGAGAAGCCACUAGUGAAACCUAUGGCCCCCGGGUCUAUUUUCCGUCAUAUUAAUCUCCCGAACACAAGUUAUUUCUUUUGCCGUUUAUUUUGCUUUCUUUACUUUGCAUCUUUAUCAUAAAAAUACCAAAAAUAUUAUCUUAUCAUAUCUAUCAGAUCUCACUUUCGUAAGUGACCGUGAAGGGAUUGACAACCCCUUUAUUGCGUUGGUUGCGAGGAUUUUAUUUGUUUGUGUAGGUGCGAGGGACUCGUGCGUGGCCUCCUACUAGAUUGAUACCUUGGUUCUCAAAAACUGAGGGGAAUACUUACGCUACUUUACUGCAUCAUCCUUUCCUCUUCAAGGGAAAACCAAAGCAGUGCUCAAGAGGUAGCAAUGGUACAGAGUAUAUGUUUUCUUUUAGAACCGUGUUUUAUUUUUUUUAUUUUGCAAAGAACAUGUUCUAGUGGUCAUAUUUUAGAAAAAACAAUUGUGUUUGAACAUCCUCUAGGAUUUACAAGGUACACAUCAUUUUGAUUAUGUGUUUUUUCAAUAUUAUAUUUUUCUAUGUAAAUCCUUCUCUCCGAGAAGACGGCCUUACAAGCACUUCCGACUCAAUUAGCAUCUACAACCGGACGCCCCGUAUCCACCUCAAAUGUCUUGGCGUCCUACCUGGUCAGAAAUUUGUAACCCAACUGGACCUGACAAAUGCAAUCCAAACAUCAGUACUAUCCGACAACCCCCAUACUUAGUCCAUAUGUGUGGUGGAUACGAGAAGGCCCGGACAUGUCUGCCACCUAGUUUGUGUCCCGCUAUAGCCUACCACGACCCCAUAGAUACCCUAUGGUCGGAUGAAACCCUACUCAAUGCAACAUUCGACCGCUUCACUCUCAGUACACCCCCUCCAUUCCCAUCCCUUCCUCCACGUUGUCUUGCUCCGGAAGCCAGCCCGACAACGAAUCCGAUCCCAUCGACUGGGAGGGGCUCUUCUGUUGGGGAACGUAGUAAUUCAAAAAAUUUCCUACGAUCACGCAAGAUCUAUCUAGGAGAAGCAUAGCAACGAGCGGGGAGAGUGUGUCCACGUACCCUCGUAGACCGAAAGUGGAAGCGUUUAGUAACGUGGUUGAUGUAGUCGAACGUCUUCAUGAUCCAACCGAUCCAACUACCGAACGUACGGCACCUCCGUGUUCAGCACACGUUCAGCACGAUGACGUCCCUCGAGCUCUUGAUCCAGUAGAGGGUCGAGGGAGAGUUCCGUCAGCACGACGGUGUGGUGACGAUGAUGAUGACACUACGAUGAUAUGACCGAGGUGUUAAACUGUGGAGGGGGGCACCGCACACGGCUAAGAGAUUGUCUGUUGUACUAUGGGGUGCCCCUUGGCCACAUAUAUAAAGGAGGGGGAGGAGGAGGCCGACGGCCAGGAGGGGCGCGCCAUAGGGGGAGUCGAACUAGGAUUCCCAAUCCUAGUUGGACUCCCCUUCCUUUUUCCAAGAGGGGGAGAGAGGGAAGGAGGAGGAGAGGGAGAAGGAAAGAGGGGGGCGCCGCCCCCUCCCUCGUCCAAUUCGGACUUGCCAUGUGGGGGCGUUGAUACGUCUCCAACGUAUCUAUAAUUUAUGAAGUAUUCAUGCUAUUAUAUUAUCCUUCUAGGAUGUUUUAUAUGCAUUUAUAUGCUAUUUUAUAUGAUUUUUGGGACUAACCUAUUAACCUAGAGCCCAGUGCCAGUUUCUGUUUUUUCCUUGUUUUUGAGUUUUACAGAAAAGGAAUACCAAACGGAGUCCAAUGGACGUGCCAAUUUUUGACAUUUUUUAUGGACCAAAAGAAGACCCCGGAGCAAAAGAGUUGGGCCAGGAGAGUCCCGGGCUGCCCACGAGGGUGGGUGGCGCGCGCACCCCCUGGGCGUGGGCCCCUGCCUCGUGGACAACCCGGAGACCCCCCUGACGUGAGACCAACGCCAAAAAUUCCUAUAAAUACUGAAACCUCCAGAAAAUAACCUAGAUCGGGAGUUCCGCCACCGCAAGCCUCUGUAGCCACCAAAAACCAAUCGGGACCCUGUUCCGGCACCCUGCCGGAGGGGGGAUCCCUCACCGGUGGCUAUCUUCAUCAUCCCGGCGCUCUCCAUGACGAGGAGGGAGUAGUUCACCCUCGGGGCUGAGGGUAUGUACCAGUAGCUAUGUGUUUGAUCUCUCUCUCUCUGUCUCGUGUUCUUGAUUUGGCACGAUCUUACUGUAUCGCGAGCUUUGCUAUUAUAGUUGGAUCUUAUGAUGUUUCUCCCCCUCUACUCUCUUGUAAUGGAUUGAGUUUUCCCUUAGAAGUUAUCUUAUCGGAUUGAGUCUUUAAGGAUUUGAGAACACUUGAUGUAUGUCUUGCAUGUGCUUAUCUGUGGUGACAAUGGGAUAUCACGUGAUCUACUUGAUGUAUGUUUUUGUGAUCAACUUCCGGGUUCCGUGACCUCGUGAACUUAUGCAUAGGGGUUGGCACACGUUUUCGUCUUGACUCUCUGGUAGAAACUUUGGGGCACUCUUUGAAGUUCUUUGUGUUGGUUGAAUAGAUGAAUUUGAGAUUGUGUGAUGCAUAUCGUAUAAUCAUACCCACGGAUACUUGAGGUGACAUUGGAGUAUCUAGGUGACAUUAGGGUUUUGGUUGAUUUGUGUCUUAAGGUGUUAUUCUAGUACGAACUCUAUGAUAGAUUGAAUGGAAAGAAUAGCUUCGUGUUAUUUUACUACGGACUCUUGAAUAGAUCGAUCAGAAAGGAUAACUUUGAGGUGGUUUCGUACCCUACAAUAAUCUCUUCGUUUGUUCCCCACUAUUAGUGACUUUGGAGUGACUCUUUGCUGCAUAUUGAGGGAUAGUUAUAUGAUCCAAUUAUGUUAUUAUUGUUGAGAGAACUUGCACUAGUGAAAGUAUGAACCCUUGGCCUUGUUUCCUAGCAUUGCAAUACCGUUUGUGCUCACUUUUAUCAUUAGUUGCCUUGCUGUUUUUAUAUUUUGAGAUUACAAAAACCUAUAUCUACCAUCCAUAUUGCACUUGUAUCACCAUCUCUUCGCCGAACUAGUGCACCUAUACAAUUUACCAUUGUAUUGGGUGUGUUGGGGACACAAGAGACUCUUUGUUAUUUGGUUGCAGGGUUGUUUGAGAGAGACCAUCUUCAUCCUACACCUCCCACGGAUUGAUAAACCUUAGGUCAUCCACAUGAGGGAAAUUUGCUACUGUCCUACAAACCUCUGCACUUGGAGGCCCAACAACGUCUACAAGAAGAAGGUUGCGUAGUAGACAUCAGGCGGCCACCCCUUGCGGCCCUCCUCUCCUUUCCACUAAGGCCCAUGAAGGCCCAAUACUUCCCUCGGGGGGUUGCGGUAAACCCUCGGUACCCCGAAAAAAAUAUCCGAACCUCUCCGAAACCAUUCCGGUGUCCGAAUACCUUUGUCCAAUAUAUCAAUCUCUACCUCUCGACCAUUUCGAGACUCCUCGUCAUGUCUGUGAUCUCAUCCGGGACUCCGAACAAACUUCGUUCAUCAAAUCACAUAACUCAUAAUACAAAUCGUCAUCGAACGUUAAGCGUGCGGACCCUACGGGUUCGAGAACUAUGUAGACAUGACCGAGACACAUCUCCGGUCAAUAACCAAUAGCGGAACCUGGAUGCUCAUAUUGGCUCCUACAUAUUCUACGAAGAUCUUUAUCGGUCAAACCGCAUAACAACAUACUUUAUUCCCUUUGUCAUCGGUAUGUUACUUGCCCGAGAUUCGAUCGUCGGUAUCAUCAUACCUAGUUCAAUCUCGUUACCGGCAAGUCUCUUUACUCGUUCCAUAAUGUAUCAUUGAAGGAAAUAUUCCCUAGAGGCAAUAAUAAAGUUGUUAUUUAUAUUUACUUAUAUCAUGAUAAAUGUUUAUUAUUCAUGCUAGAAUUGUAUUAACCGGAAACUUAGUACAUGUGUGAAUACAUAGACAAAACAGAGUGUCCCUAGUAUGCCUCUACUUGACUAGCUCGUUAAUCAAAGAUGGUUAUGUUUCUUGACCAUAGACAUGUGUUGUCAUUUGAUAAACGGGAUCACAUCAUUAGAGAAUGAUGUGAUGGACAAGACCCAUCCGUUAGCUUAGCAUUAUGAUCGUUGAAUUUUAUUGCUAUUGCUUUCUUCAUGACUUAUACAUGUUCCUCUAACUAUGAGAUUAUGCAACUCCCGAAUACCGGAGGAACACCUUGUGUGCUAUCAAACGUCACAACGUAACUGGGUGAUUAUAAAGAUGCUCUACAGGUGUCUCCGAAGGUGUUUGUUGGGUUGGCAUAGAUCGAGAUUAGGAUUUGUCACUCCAAGUAUCGGAGAGGUAUCUCUGGCCCUCUCGGUAAUGCUCAUCACUAUAAGCCUUGCAAGCAAUGUGACUAAUGAGUUAGUUGCGGGAUGAAGUAUUACGGAACGAGUAAAGAGACUUGCCGGUAACAAGAUUGAACUAGGUAUGAUGAUACCGACGAUCGAAUCUUGGGCAAGUAACAUACCGAUGACAAAGGGAACAACGUAUGUUGUUAUGCGGUUUGACCGAUAAAGAUCUUCAUAGAAUAUGUAGGAACUAAUAUGAGCAUCCAGGUUCCGCUAUUCGUUAUUGACCAGAGAUGAGUCUCGGUCAUGUCUACAUAGUUCUCGAACCCGUAGGGUCCGCACACUUAAUGUUUGAUGACGAUAUGUAUUAUGAGUUAUGUGAUUUGAUGUACCGAAGGUAGUUCGGAGUCCCGGAUGUGAUCACAGACAUGACGAGGAGUCUCAAAAUGGUCGAGACAUGAAGAUUGAUAUAUUGGAAGGUUAUGUUUGGACACCGAAAAGGUUUCGGAUGAGUUCGGGCAUUUUCCGGAGUACCAGGGCGGUUACCGGAACCCCCCGGGGGGUUAAUGGGCCUUCAUGGGCCAUGGUGGAAGAGAGGAGGAGGCUACCAAGUGGUGGGGCGCCCCCCCAAGCCCAAUCCGAAUUGGGGAAGGGGGCCAGCCCCCCUUUCCUUCUCUCCUUCUUCCCCUUCCUUCCCCCUCCUAGUUGGACUAGGAAAGGGGGGAAACCUACUCCUAGUAGGAGUAGGAAUCCCCCUUGGGGCACGCCCUAGGAGGCCGGCCCUCCCCCUCCUCCACUCCUUUAUAUACGGGGGAGGGGGGCACCCCAUAGAUACACAGGUUGAUUUUAGCCGUGUGCGGUGCCCCCCACCACAGAUUUCCACCUCGGUCAUAUUGUCGUAGUGCUUAGGCGAAGCCCUGCGUCGGUAACUUCAUCAUCACCGUCACCACGCCGUCGUGCUGAGGAAACUCUCCCUCGGCCUCAGCUAGAUCUAGAGUUCGAGGGACGUCACCGAGCUGAACGUGUGCAGAUCGCGGAGGUGCCGUGCGUUCGGACUUGAUCGGUUGGAUCGCGAAGACGUUCGACUACAUCAACCGCGUUAUUUAACGCUUCCGCUUUCGGUGUACGAGGGUACGUGGACACACUCUCCCCGCUCGUUGCUAUGCAUCUCCUAGAUAGAUCUUGCGUGAUCGUAGGAAUUUUUUUGAAAUACUGCGUUCCCCAACAAUCAUCCCAUAACUAACUCAUUAGUCACAUUGCUUGCAAGGCUUAUAGUGAUGUACAUUACCGAGAGGGCCCAGAGAUACCUCUCCGAUACACGGAGUGACAAAUCCUAAUCUUGAUCUAUGCCAACUCAACAAAUACCUUCCGUGACACCUGUAGAGCAUCUUUAUAAUCACCCAGUUACGUUGUGACGUUUGAUAGCACACAAGGUGUUCCUCUGGUAUUCGGGAGUUGCAUAAUCUCAUAGUCAGAGGAACACUUAUAAGUCAUGAAGAAAGCAAUAGCAGUAAAAGUAAACGAUCAUAAUGCUAAGCUAACGGAUGGGUCUUGUCCAUCACAUCAUUCUCUAAUGAUGUGAUCCCGUUCAUCAAAUGACAACAGAUGCCUAUGGGUAGGAAACUUAACCAUCUUUGAUUAACGAGCUAGUCAAGUAGAGGUAUACUAGGGACACUCUGUUUGUCUAUGUAUUCACACAUGUACUAAGUUUCCGGUUAAAACAAUUCUAGCAUGAAUAAUAAACAUUUAUCAUGAUAUAAGGAAAUAUAAAUAACAACUUUAUUAGAGCAACUCCAACGGGCCGACCCAAAUGGGCCAACUGAAAGUGCGUUAUAUCGACUAGAGGGGGGUGAAUAGGCGAUUUUUAUGAAUUCUUCACUGAGGAAUUUGCCGGUGAGGAAAUUCCUUAGCGAAGAACUACUUGCAGCGGAAUAAGUACUCAGAAGUAAACAUAACAGAAUACAAGCAUGGUCAUCAUGAUGAAAUGAAGACAGGCACAGAGUACAGAAAGCGUAAACACAGGAUAAAGAGAAACAGACUGAAGAAAUUGAACUGAGGAAAUUGAGAAAGUCUUCAGUCAAAGUCUUCAAACAUAGAUAUAACAAGCACACAACACAGCAAUGAGGAAAUGAAAGAGUUGAGGAAAUAGAACCAGUUGGCUUGGUGAAGACAAUGAUUUGGUAGACCAGUUCCAACUGUUGUCUCAGUUGUACAUCUGGUUGGAGCGGCUAGGUAUUUAAACCUGAGGACACACAGUCCUCACCGUAUUCUCCUUGAGCUAAGGUCACACAGACAUCGCCCAAUCACUCGUGGUAAAUCUUCAGGUGAAUUCCGAACCUUCACAAACUCGGUCACUCGGCGAUCCACAAUUCCUCUUGGAUGCUCUAGACCAUGACGCCUAACCGUCUGGAAGAAGCACAGUCUUCAAAGGUAACAAGCGUCGGAUCCACGCAUGAUCAAUCUCUUCAGUGAUGCUCAAUCACUUUGGGUUUGUAGGUGUUUGGGUUUUCCUCACUCAAUGAUUUUCGCUCAAAGUCCUCGGAGAAUGGGAUGCUCUCAAAUGACAAGUGUCAGUUUCUCUCGGAGUAGCCAACCAGCUAGUGGUUGUAGGGGGCGGCUAUUUAUAGCCUAGGGAGCAGCCCGGCAUGAUAAGACAUAAAUGCCCUUCAAUGAUAUGACCAUUAGGUGGGUAGAUAUUUUGGGACAGCUGGCACAAGGCACAGCAACGGUCGGAAAUUUGAGUGCCAAAUUCCUCGGGGCUAUCAUGUUCCUCACUGUGUAGGCAAUCCACACUGGCGAAUUCCUAACUCCUCAGUCAGAACAAAAUCCUCAGAGACUAGAAGAACUUCGUCUCUGUCACUAAAGAAUAUGACUGAACUGUAUGAGAUUUCCAAUGGCUUCACUCGAAGGGAUUGGUAGGUGUAGGAUUUUGAGUUGAGCAUCACAUGGAAAUUUUUCCUUAGUAUUUCCUCGACCCCCUUUAACAGUACGGUGUUUCCUAUGACUCAAGAAAAAAGAAAAUGAAACUACGAAAACAAAAGUCUUCACGCUUCAUGUUCCUCGAAUGAAUACCAAGUCUUCAAGGUCACACCAAUUUCUUCACUUUCAGAGUCUUCAGAAAGUCUUCAGAAAUACAAAGUCUUCAGUCGAAGAACUUCAAUUUUAGGGGUCGACUUUCUCUGUAAAUAUCAAACUCCUCAUAGACUUAUAGACCUGUGUACACUCACAAACGCAUUAGUCCCUUAACCUAUAAGUCUUCAAUACACCAAAAUCACUAAGGGGCAGUAGAUGCACUUACAAUCUCCCCCUUUUUGGUGAUUGAUGACAAUAUAGGUUAAGUUUCCAACGGGGAUAAACAUAUGAAGUGUAAAUACUGAUAUUGAGGAAUUUGAUUGCAAGAUAUAGAAGAACUCCCCCUGAAGAUGUGCAUAGUGAGGAAUUUGCUUUUGAAGCAAUGCACACUUGAAGAGUAGAAUCAUGGAGAUCUCCCCCUAUAUCUUGUAAUUUAUACCCGCAUUUGACAUAGUAUAUGAACAAUUUGAAAUGCAUGAUGAAAUAUGGUGACUGAUGUAAUUCAGCAUGCGUGCAUUAACAUUAAUGAGGAAUAAGCAUGCAGAAAAGCACAGCAAAAGUAUCAGGUCACCAUAGAGUUUAAGUUUACAAGUCGAUCCAGCAAAGUCUUCAAAAGAACGAGAGUUGCAACUUAGAAAAAAGCCCAUAUAUGACAGACCUGCUCUAAGACUAACUCAAUUUUCUCCCCCUUUUUCAUCGAAUGACCAAAAGGAUCAAAAAUGAGGACUAACGCCCCUGAAGAAUAUCAAGUUGAUGAAGGAGCGCCAGCGUUGUUGGGGUCGUUUGUCGUAGUAGGGCCUGCCGUAGUGUCGUCCAAGUCUUCAUGCUCGUCGGUGUCGUGCGAUGAAGAAUAGGAGCUGGCCACCAAGGAAGGAACCUUGACCUUCUUGUAUUUCUUCGGUGGAGGUGCAGACCAGUCAAAUUCCUCCUUGAGACCCAUGUUCUUCAGUUAUUCUUCACCAUAUACAUGUGACAAAAUAGGCCAGGUGCGAUCGAAGACUUCAUGGAAGUAGUAAUGGUUUUUCUUCACUGCAUUAUGUGUAGCAGUCAUGUUGUGAAGAAUUGAACCAAACUGACGCUUAACCCAUUUAUGGUUUCGAUCCACCUUCUGGUGAAGACUUAGCAGAAGUUCACGGUCAGUCAUCACACGAGGAGCAGUAGCUUGAGGAUUUGGCUUGGAGGCAUGGGCAGCAGAAUCAUGAGUGGCAGAGUCAUCAUUGGUGGAAUAAGAUGCAGCCUUGCGAAAUUGACCAUCCAAUGGACGAAUGCCUUCAUCUAUAACAGCUGGUGCCUUGCCCUUUUCGUCAGCUGAGGAAUAGGUCCGCUUGAGGACUUCAAUCAGGGGCAAGUAGCUGAGGUGAUUCUGAAAAUCAGCUUUGUAGUUGAGUGAAGACCUUGUCCUGAGGAAUCUCAUGAUCCAGGGUGCAUAAGGCUUCAGCUCAAACGGUGAAAGUGCAACAUUUGCCAGAGUCCUCAUGAAGAAAUCGUGAUAAUUGACAGGAAUGCCAUGAAUGAUGUUGAAAACCAGAUUCUUCAUGAUGCCGACAAUUUCCUCAUUAGAUGAGUCGUGGACUUUGAUUGGACUCAUAGUCUUCGUCAGAAUGCGAUAGACUGUCCAUGGUACGUACUGCAAUUCCUUCACGAGGAAUUUUGUCCUUGAGGCUUGACCAGGUUUCAAUGGCAUCAUCAGCACUUGCAUAUAGUGAUCUGUAAGCUCAGGCUCUUGGUACAUGCAACGAGCUCCUUCAAGUGGAGGACUGAUGGGCAGGGCGUGAAGUAAUUCAUUGGCCGGUGCCUUAUAGUGAGUAUUUUCGGUCAUCCAGUCCAAAACCCAGGAGUUCACAUCGUCAGCAUCUCCUGUGAUGUGCAAAGUUGCGUAGAAUUGAAGAAUGAGUUGUUCAUUCCAAUCAACUAUGUCUGUGCAAAAGUUGAGGAGGCAUGUGUCAUGAAGCACACUGAGGAUAGGAGUGAAGCAUGGCAGUGAUUCCAUGUCCACAUGAGGAUUAUGCUCGUGGUCGAAGACUUUGUCCUUGUUGAAGAGCAGUGAAGAAUAGAAGUUGGCCUGGCUGGCGGUCCAGAAGCGCUUCCUUCUAAGACGAUCAGAAUCGUAGGGAUUGUAGUCAGUGAAGAACACGUGCUCGCCGAAGAAAUCAUCAGCCUUGAAUUUCUGCUUCUUUGAGAAUGGAUCCUUUGGCUUGGGCUGAGGAGUGUCAGUCAAUUGCAUUAUCACCUCAGGAAUCGCAAUCUCAGGUUCUUCAUGCUGAGGAAUUUCAGCUUCUACUCCAGUGACAGCCUGGGUCUUCAAUUCUUCAUUUUCAUUUUCUUCAGCACUAGUGGCUGGAAUUUCUUCAUGGACAGACGGUGUGGCAUGUGGUUCAUCAGAUCCCAUUUGAACUGUAGUUGCUGGGGACUGAGGAAUUUGUUGCAAUGGUGUGAAGAGUGGAGAGUUGGGGUGCUGACUUUCCCAAAAGUCAUCAUUCAGCACAGGUGUGGUACAGCCAAUGUCCACAUCUUCAUCUUCCAUUUCUUCAACGCCGGCCUCUUCAGCAGUAAACUGAGGCAUAGGCGAGGAAACAGCUGGAGUGGAAGGGAUUUCAUCCACUUCAAUUUCUUCAUCCAUCUGCUCUGACGUAGCAGCAGAAGGACUUUCUUCAUCAGAUCAACUAGGGAUCAUGUAUUCUUCAUCAAAAGGGACGAUUUCCUUUGAUGGCAUGGUAGUGAGAGGAACGACAUCAAUUGAGUUUCAAAUGAGCUGGUCAUUGACUUCAUCUUCUUCAGAGCUGAAGAAUCUGAAGAAGAUGAUGUCUUCCUUUUCUUCACUGCUGCACGUUCUGCAGCCUUGGUCUUCUUUGCAUCUGAUGCAGAUGGAAGAAUUGGAGUUGGGGUAGGCGCAGGAGGAGCAGAGGAAUGUGGUUGAUUUUCUUCAGGCACAACUGAUGCAGUUGCCCUGACCUCUUCAUUUUCUUCAGGCGCACCACUAGUGGAUGCCCUGGCAAUUUCAUCAGCGGCUGGAAUGCAGUCAUCAGCCCUGGAACACACAUUUUCUUCAGCAGCCUGAGUGUCAUCAGCGGUGCUGGCAUGUUCUUCAGUUGGCUGAGCGGAUGCUUCAGCCUGAGGAAUUUCUUGUUGCGAUGGGGCUGUAACAUUGGAGGUGAAUUUUUCAGUCAGUUUCACAAACCUGACCUUGGCUCCUUGCCAAUCAGCAUAGUAAGCGUUGAAAUCAUCGCUGAGGACUUUGAUUUCAGAAUGGAUCUUCACAAGUUCAUCAGUUGUCAUAGCGACAACGUUGUUCUUCAGGAAUUUUUCUUUCCUGUACUGCGCUUUCUUGAUCUGCCUGGCUUCUCAAAUUUCCAUUUCUCUUCUUGGAUGAAGGCAGUCAGCAUAUGACUUUGGCCAGGAGUCAACUUGAAAUCAGGCAUAGGAGUGUUUAGGUCCUUGUGCCAGAGAUCAAUGUAGUCGAGGACCAACUUUGGAUCCAAAAGCAGAGGCACAUUUGUGCCCUUGGCUCUAGCGGCCCUGACUUGCCUAUCUCUUAUGAUUUCAGCAAGUUCUUCAUCAUCAGCUUCGUCUUCAUCAGACGGCACUCGAAAGGCGACCUGCUUCUUGUGAGGACUUGGGCGAGAACCUCGUCCAGCAGUGGUCUUUUGAAAGUGCGUUAUAUCGACUAGAGGGGGGUGAAUAGGCGAUUUUUAUGAAUUCUUCACUGAGGAAUUUGCUGGUGAGGAAAUUCCUUAGCGAAGAACUAUUUGCAGCGGAAUAAGUACUCAGAAGUAAACAUAACAGAAUACAAGCAUGGUCAUCAUGAUGAAAUGAAGACAGGCACAGAGUACAGAAAGCGUAAACACAGGAUAAGACAGGAUGAAGACAAACAGACUGAAGAACUUGAACUGGGGAAUUGAGAAAGUCUUCAGUCAAAGUCUUCAAACACAGAUAUGACAAGCACACAACACAGUAAUGAGGAAAUGAAAGAGUUGAGGAAAUAGAACCAGUUGGCUUCGUGAAGACAAUGAUUUGGUAGACCACUUCCAACUUCUGUCUCAGUUGUACAUCUGGUUGGAGCGGCUAGGUAUUUAAACCUGAGGACACACAGUCCCGGACACACAGUCCUCACCGUAUUCUCCUUGAGCUAAGGUCACACAGACCUCGCCCAAUCGCUCGUGGUAAGUCUUCAGGUGACUUCCGAACCUUCACAAACUCGGUCACUCGGCGAUCCACAAUUCCUCUUGGAUGCUCUAGACCAUGACGCCUAACCGUCUGGAAGAAGCACAGUCUUCAAAGGUAACAAGCGUCGGAUCCACGCAGGAUCAAUCUCUUCAGUGAUGCUCAAUCACUUUGGGUUUGUAGGUGUUUGGGUUUGGGUUUUCCUCACUCGAUGAUUUUCGCUCAAAGUCCUCGGAGGAUGGGAUGCUCUCAAAUGACAAGUGUCAGUUUCUCUUGGAGCAGCCAACCAGCUAGUGGUUGUAGGGGGCGGCUAUUUAUAGCCUAGGGAGCAGCCCGACAUGAUAAGACAUAAAUGCCCUUCAAUGAUAUGACCGUUAGGUGGGUUGAUAUUUUGGGACAGCUGGCGCAUAGCACAGCAACGGUCGGAUAUUUGAGGCUCAAAUUCCUCAGGGCUACCAUGUUCCUCACUGUGUAGGCAAUCUGCACUGGCGAAUUCCUAACUCCUCAGUCAGAACAAAUUCCUCAAAGACCAGAAGAACUUCAUCUCUGUCACUGAAGAAUAUGACUGAACUGUAUGAGAUUUCUAAUGGCUUCACUCGAAGGGAUUGGUAGGUAUAGGAUUUUGAGUUGAGCAUCACAUGGAAAUUUUUCUUAGUAUUUCCUCGACCCCCUUUAACAGUAUGGUGUUUCCUUUAGACUUAUAGACCUGUGUACACCCAAUUUCUUCAAUUUCAAAGUCUUCAGAAAUCCAAAGUCUUCAGUCGAAGAACUUCAUUUUUAGGGGUCGACUUUCUCUGUAAAUAUCAAACUCCUCAUAGACUUAUAGACCUGUGUACACUCACAAACGCAUUAGUCCCUUAACCUAUAAGUCUUCAAUACACCAAAAUCACUAAGGGGAACUAGAUGCACUUACAAUCUCCCCCUUUUUGGUGAUUGAUGACAAUAUAGGUUAAGUUUUUCAACAGGGAUAAACAUAUGAAGUGUAAAUACUGAUAUUGAGGAAUUUGAUUGCAAGAUAUAAAAGAACUCCCCCUAAAGAUGUGCAUAGUGAGGAAUUUGCUUUUGAAGCAAUGCACACUUGAAGAGUAGAAUCAUGGAGAUCUCCCCCUAUAUCUUGUAAUUUAUACACACAUUUGACAUAGUAUAUGAAGAAUUUGAAAUGCAUGAUGAAAUAUGGUGACUGAUGUAAUUCGGCAUGCGUGCAUUAACAUUAAUGAGGAAUAAGCAUGCAGAAAAGCACAGCAAAAGUAUCAGGUCACCAUAGAGUUUAAGUUUACAAGUCGAUCCAGCAAAGUCUUCAAAAGAACGAGAGUUGCAACUUUGAAAAAAACGCCCAUAUAUGAGAGACCCAUUUGAAGACUAACUCAAUUUUCUCCCCCUUUGUCAUCGAAUGACCAAAAGGAUCGAAAAUGAGGACUAACGCCCCUGAAGAAUAUCAAGUUGAUGGAGGAGCGCCAGCGUUGUUGGGGUCGUUUGUCGUAGUAGGGUCUGCCGCAAUGUCGUCCAAGUCUUCAUGCUCGUCGGUGUCGCGCGAUGAAGAAUAGGAGCUGGCCACCAAGGAAGGAACCUUGACCUUCUUGUAUUUCUUCGGUGGAGGUGCAGACCAGUCAAAGUCCUCCUUGAGACCCAUGUUCUUCAGUUCUUCUUCACCAUAUACAUGUGACAGAAUAGCCCAGGUGCGAUUGAAGACUUCAUGGAGGUAGUAAUGGCUUUCUUCACUGCAUUAUGUGUAGUAGUCAUGUUGUGAAGAAUUGAACCAAACUGACGCUUAACCCAUUUAUGGUUUUGAUCCACCUUCUGGUGAAGACUUAGCAGAAGUUCACGGUCAGUCAUCACACGAGGAGCAGUAGCUUGAGGAUUUGGCUUGGAGGCAUGGGCAGCAGAAUCAUGAGUGGCAGAAUCAUCAUUGGUGGAAUAAGAUGCAGCCUUGCGAAAUUGACCAUCCAAUGGACGAAUGCCUUCAUCUAUAACAGCUGGUGCCUUGCCCUUUUCGCCAGCUGAGGAAUAGGUCCGCUUGAGGACUUCAAUUGGGGGCAAGUAGCUGAGGUGAUUCUGAAAAUCAGCCUUGUAGUUGAGUGAAUACCUUGUCCUGAGGAAUCUCAUAAUCCAAGGUGCAUAAGGCUUCAGCUCAAACGGAGAAAGUGCAACAUUUUCCAGAGUCCUCAUGAAGAAAUCGUGAUAAUUGACAGGAAUGCCAUGAAUGAUGUUGAAUACCAGAUUCUUCAUGAUGCCAACAAUUUCCUCAUCAGAUGAGUCGUGGCCUUUGAUUGGACUCAUAGUCUUCGUCAGAAUGCGAUAGACUGUCCUUGGUACAUACUGCAAUUCCUUCACAAGGAAUUUUGUCCUUGAGGCUUGACUAGGUUUUAAUGGCUUCAUCAGCACUUGCAUAUAGUGAUCAGUAAGCUCAGGCUCUUGGUACAUGCAACGAGCUCCUUCAGCUGGAGGACUGAUAGGCAGGGCGUGAAGUAAUUCAGAGGCCGGUGCUUUGUAGUGAGUGUUUUCGGUCAUCCAGUCCAAAACCCAGGAAUUUACAUCGUCCGCAUCUCCUGUGAUGUGUAGUGUUGCGUAGAAUUGGAGAAUGAGUUCUUCAUUCCAAUCAACUAUGUCUGUGCAAAAGUUGAGGAGGCCUGUGUCAUGAAGCACACUGAGGAUAGUGUGAAGCAUGGCAGUGAUUCCAUGUCCACAUGAGGAAUAUGCUCGUGGUCGAAGACUUUGUCCUUGUUGAAGAGCAGUGAAGAAUAUAAGUUGGCCUGGCUGGCGGUCCAGAAGCGCUUCCUUCUAAGACGAGCAGAAUCGUAGGGAUUGUAGUCAGUGAAGAACACGUGCUCGCCAAAGAAAUCAUCAGCCUUGAAUUUCUGCUUCUUUGAGAAUGGAUCCUUUGGCUUGGGCUGAGGAGUGCCAGUCAAUUGCAUUAUCACCUCAGGAAUCGCAAUCUCAGGUUCUUCAUGCUGAAGAAUUUCAGCUUCCUCCAGUGACAGCCUGGGUCUUCAAUUCUUCAUUUUCAUUUUCUUCAGCACUAGUGGCUGGAAUUUCUUCAUGGACAGACGGUGUGGCAUGUGGUUCAUCAGAUCCCAUUUGAACUGUAGUUGCUGGGGACUGAGGAAUUUGUUGCAAUGGUGUGAAGAGUGGAGAGUUGGGGUGCUGACUUUCCCAAAAGUCAUCAUUCAGCACAGGUGUGGUACAGCCAAUGUCCACAUCUUCAUCUUCCAUUUCUUCAACGCCGGCCUCUUCAGCAGUAAACUGAGGCAUAGGCGAGGAAACAACUGGAGUUGAAGGGAUUUCAUCCACUUCAAUUUCUUCAUCCAUCUGCUCUGACGUAGCAGCAGAAGGACUUUCUUCAUCCGAUCCGCUAGGGAUCACGUAUUCUUCAUCGAAAGGGAUGAUUUCCUUUGAUGGCAUGGUAGUGAGAGGAACGACAUCAAUUGGGUUUGCAAAUGAGCUGGUCAUUGACUUCAUCUUCUUCGGAGCUGAAGAAUCUGAAGAAGCUGAUGCCUUCCUUUUCUUCACUGCUGCACACUCUGCAGCCUUGGUCUUCUUUGCAUCUAAAGCAGAUAGAAGAAUUGGAGUUGGGGUAGGCGCAGGAGGAGCAGAGGAAUGUGGUUGAUUUUCUUCAGGCACAACUGAUGCAGUUGCCCUGACCUCUUCAAUUUCUUCAGGCGCACCACUAGUGGAUGCCCUGGCAAUUUCAUCAGCGGCUGGAAUGCAGUCAUCAACCCUGGAACUCACAUUUUCUUCAGCAGCCUGAGUGUCAUCAGCGGUGCUGGCAUGUUCUUCAGUUGGCUGAGCAGAUGCUUCAACCUGAGGAAUUUCUUGUUGCGAUGGGGCUGCAACAUUGGAGGUGAACUUUCCAGUCAGUUUCACAAACCUGACCUUGGCUCCUUGCCAAUCAGCAUAGUAAGCAUUGAAAUCAUCGCUGAGGACUUUGAUUUUAGACUGGAUCUUCACAAGUUCAUCAGUUGUCAUAGUGACAACGUUGUUCUUCAGGAAUUUUUCUUUCCUGUACUGCGCUUUCUUGAUUUGCCUGGCCUUCUCAGAUUUCCAUUUCUCUUCUUGGAUGAAGGCAGUCAGCAUAUGACUUUGGCCAGGAGUCAACUUGAAAUCAGGCAUAGGAGUGUUUGGGUCCUUGUGCCAUAGAUCAAUGUAGUCGAGGAUCAACUUUGGAUCCAAAAGCAGAGGCACAUUUGUGCCCUUGGCUCUAGCGGCCCUGACUUGCCUAUCUCUGAUGAUUUCAACAAGUUCUUCAUCAUCAGCUUCGUCUUCAUCAGACGGCACUUGAAAGGCGACCUGCUUCUUGUGAGGACUUGGGCGAGAACCUCGUCCAGCAGUGGUCUUUGUCUUGAGCAGAGAGGGUACUGUUGAAGAAUUUGGUGCAGCUAAGGAACUAGCAGAAGCUCCUGAGGCAAUAGAGAUGCCUGUAGUCCUUUGGCACGUGGCAAGAUGCACAGAUGCUGAGGACUUGGUUGGAGCAGCUGAGGACUUUGGAGGAGGAGGAGUAGCAUGAGGAAUUGGCCGUGAGGGCUUUGAGGAUUCUGGCCGUGAGGGCAUAGCUGAGGAACUUGGCCUUGAGGGCAUUGAUGGUGAAGCACUUGACUUGUGUGCAGGCUUCUUUGCCAUGGAUUUCUUCGGCUUGACAGAGGCCUCAGCGGCAACAGCAGCAGAGUCUUCAUUGAAUUUCCUCACUGCUUCUCUGGCUUGUCUAGCCAACUUGGCCUGGCGCUUGGCCCAUUCGUCAGGAUAGUCCUCACCGCGCUUGAGGCUGGUGGGAUCAGCUAUUUGGCCAGGUGCCAAUGGAGGUCUUGGGCAUGGAGGAUUGAGUGCGAAUUUCUUCAUGUAUUUGGGAGUAACAUAUAUGUACUCCCUCCACUCCCUUGCCCAUCUCCUCUCUAUCCUCUAUAUGCGCACCUUGCGUUGAUUCUUAUCCUCCUUACCAAACAUGGCCUCAUCAGGAGUGCAAUAGUCUUUGUAUAUGUCAUCAGGAAUCUCAAAGGCAGUAUUGAUUUCAGGCCUCUUUCCUCCCUUCUGAGGCUUCUUACCGUCAGCCAUUUUCUUCAGUUGAGGAAUUUGAACAAUUGAAUUCUCUAAAGAAGUAUGCAACUUUUCUUCGAGGAAUGCUGCAAAUGAGUUAAGUUGAUGAGAACCUAGUGAUUCAGCAGCGGACAUGAGUACCUGUGAACAGAGUAUAGUUGCGAGGAAUUUGGAGAGGUCAUAUGCGUUCUCAGAAGAUUUUGUAAAAAGAACAAGUUUGAGGAAUUUGACCAGAUGAGUCUUGAAGAAUUUCACUAAGCGUUCUUUGUCUUAGGUUCCAGAGUUGUAUAGAUCGAAGAUCCACACAAUUGAGGAAUCUUGAAGAAAAAUUAUUGCUUAGAGAAACGAAUCAAGAACAGAUGAUAUGAGAGGUGUUUAGUGUGUGUGAAGAAUUUGAAGAGUAAACACCUUUGAAGAUUUUGUAGAAAUCAUUUGAAUCAAAGAGGGCGGUAAAAGUAACUUUUAAUUACCCUGAACGAAGAACACGACGAACUGGGAGGUGGAGAUGUGAAGUUCGUCAGUCCAGAUCUUCCACGCCCUAACUCGGCGGAGGAAGACGGCUAUGGCAGCAACGGAGUGAAGAUUUCCGCGGCUGGCGCGAGUACGACGGUGACGAGGUCGAGGCAGUGAAGCUCUUUCUCACCGGCGACGAUGAAGUAGCGGCGGCGCUAGGGUUUGAGAAGCUCGAGCUGGAGAGAGGUCGAGCGGGGUAAAGGAAGUGAGGAAGGAAAGGGGGGUAUUUAUAGCCACGGUGAAAAACUGUUCGCCCGAAGAUUUUGGACGAACGUGCCCCUGACCCUUCUCAUUCGCUUGACAUGUGUCACCCACGUACUAAGAAGUGGAGAUCGUGUGAGAUCGUGGGUGAAUAGAUAAGUAUUUCGUGGGAUGCGGAACGGUUUGAGCGGCAAAACUGAAAAUUUGGAUAAGAUAAGUUUUAACGUUCCGUUCGCAAAUUCUUCAGCUGACAAGGACACAGUGAAGAUUUUGAACGAGUUUCAAAUAGAACGCACAUGAAGAAUUUGUGAAUAGAAUGGGUUGAGUUUAGCAUGGAGGGGGUAGGGUCCGAUCACAUUCACUUAGCAGAAAAAGCAAUUUGAAUAAUUAGCCAUAAGUGAAUGCUAUAGAGGACAUAAACUCAUAUAUAUAUAUAUAUAUAUAUAUAUAUAUAUAGCUAGUAAAAAAACGACGGAAAUAGUGAAGAUAAUGCAAAGUUGAAGAAAAUGAACAACUGAUGAAUUCCAAAACUGAGGAAAAACUCAAAUUGAAGAUUUUCAACUUUUGGUGGUGGCGUGACCCACCAUAUAAGAAUGAUGAUUUUAGACACUGCGUACAAUUGUCGUAGGGUUCUGAGAAUCAAAUUCUUCGUUAAUUUCUUCACACUUAGAGUGUUAGUCUUCAUUGAUUGAAGAAAAACGUUUCUUCAUGUGUUGCACAUCUAAGUCAUCAAUUUUGCAUAAGUGUUAGGAUGAGUGUCCUUUUCAAAGAACAUUCGAAGAUUCUAAGAUAUUUAGCUCACACCGCAACUUGCUAAAUCUCUUCUCAUCCAAGGGCUUUGUGAAGAUAUCGGCUAGCUGUUCUUCAGUCUUCACAUGCUCAAUAGAAAUGUCGCCCUCCAACACAUGAUCACGAAGAAAAUGAUGACAAAUCUGAAUGUGCUUUGUCUUCGAGUGCUGAACUGGGUUGUGAGCAAUCUUGAUGGCACUCUCAUUGUCACAGAAGAGAGGCACAUUCUUCACGUUGACGCUGUAGUCCUUGAGAGUUUGCUUCAUCCACAGCAAUUGAGCACAGCAAGAACCAGCAGCAAUGUACUCAGCUUCAGCAGUAGACAGUGAUACGCAGUUCUGUUUCUUCGAGGCCCAACAGACCAAAGAUCGUCCGAGGAAAUGACAUGUACCAGAUGUUGACUUGCGGUCCACACGAUCACCAGCAUAGUCAGAGUCAGAAUAUCCAAUGAGAUCAAAAGCCGAGCCCUUGGGGUACCAUAAUCCAAGUGUUGGUGUGUGAGCUAGAUAUCGAAAAAUAUGCUUCACAGCCUUAUGGUGUGAUUCCUUCGGUGUAGCUUGAAAUCGGGCACACAUGCAAACACUAAGCAUUAUAUCUGGCCUAGAUGCACAUAAGUACAAUAAAGAACCAAUCAUGGAGCGGCAUACCUUAUGAUCGAAGUCAAUACCAUUUUCAUCAGUGCACAGAUGGCCAUUUGUGGGCAUAGGAAUUUUGACGGCUUUGCAAUCUUGCAUGCCGAAUUUCCUCAGUACAUCCUUGAGGUAUUUCUCCUGAGAUAUGAAUAUGCCACUGCGUUGUUGACGAAUUUGAAGCCCUAAGAAGAAUUUCAACUCUCCCAUCAUAGACAUUUGAUAUUCUUCACUCAUCAUAUAGACAAAUUCAUCACUAUAACGUUGGUCAGUACAACCAAAGAUAAUAUCAUCAACAUAUAUUUGGCACCAGUUCACCAUCAUAAGAUUUAGUGAAAAGUGUAGGGUCGAGUGAACCGGGUUUGAAGCCUUUCUUCAUGAGGAAUUCCUUCAAAGUAUCAUACCACGCCCGUGGGGCCUGCUUGAGGCCAUAGAGGGCCUUGUUGAGUCUGAAGACUUUGUCAGGAUGCUUAGGAUCUUCAAAACCUGGGGGUUGAGCAACAUAUACUUCUUCCUCAAGCUUACCAUUGAGGAAUGCACUUUUCACAUCCAUUUGAUAUAAAGUGAUAUCAUGAUGGUUAGCAUAAGCAAGUAAUAUGCGAAUAGCCUCAAGUUUAGCAACAGGUGCAAAAGUUUCAUCGAAAUCAAUUCCUUCAACCUGUGUGUAGCCUUGAGCUACAAGCCGUGCCUUAUUCCUCACCACAAGGCCAUUUUCAUCUUGCUUGUUGUGGUAGAUCCACUUUGUGCCAAUGAUAUUGUGCUUGCGAGGAUCUGGACGUUUAACCAGUUCCUAGACGUUGUUGAGCUCGAAUUGAUGUAAUUCUUCUUGCAUGGCCUGAAUCCACUCAGGCUCCAGAAAUGCUUCAUCUACCUUUGUGGGCUCUGUGAUAGAGACAAAAGCAUAGUGCCCACAAAAGUUAGAUAAAUGUGAAGCUUUUGAGCGUGUGAGAGGACCUGGUGCUUCAAUGUCAUCGAUGAUCUUUUCAACUUGCACUUCUUUUGCAACGCGAGGAUGAGCUCGUUGUCGUCGAGGAAUUUGAUCAGCACUUUCUUCAGCACCAUUCUCUUCAGUAUUUUCUUCAGGUGCAUUAGCUCGACGUUCUUCACGUUCUGGAAUGAAUUCUUCAGCACAUUCUUCAGUAGGAAUGACAUCCUCAGUAGCCUUGAACUUGAUAGUUUCCUCAGGUGCUAGUUCAUCUAUCACAGAAGGUAGGUGCUCUCUUUGCGAGCCAUUAGUUUCAUCGAACCGCACAUCUACAGUUUCAACAACCUUGUGAAGAACGUUGUUGAAGAGUCUGUAGGUGUGCGAAUCCUUUCCGUAACCAAGCAUGAAACCUUCAUGUGCUUUCGGUGCAAAUUUAGCAUUGUGAUGAGGAUCUCUAAUCCAACAUUUAGUACCGAAGACUUUGAAAUAACUCACAUUGGGUUUCUUGUCAGUGAGGAGUUCAUAGGCAGUCUUCUUGAAGAAUUUGUGAAGAUAUACCCUAUUGAUGAUGUGGCACGCAGUAUAAAUUGCCUCAAUCCAGAAGUGACGAGGCGUCUUGUACUCAUCAAGCAUAGUGCGAGCCAUCUCAACAAGAGUUCUGUUCUUGCGUUCCACGACGCCAUUCUGCCGAGGAGUAUAAGGAGCAGAUAACUCAUGAGUAAUACCAAGUUCAUUAAGAUAGUCAUCAAGACCAGAAUUCUUGAACUCGGUUCCAUUGUCACUUCUGAUGUGCUUGAUCUUCACACCAAAGUUGGUUGAAGCCCUUGAGGAAAAUCGUUUGAAGACUUCCUGCACUUCAUGUUUGUAAGUAACAAUGUGUACCCAUGUGUAUCGAGAGUAAUCAUCAACAAUAACAAAGCCAUAGAGAGAUGCGUCAUUUGUGACUGCUGAGUAAUGAUUAGGACCAAAUAGAUCCAUGUGAAGCAAUUCAAAUGGGCGAGUGGUAGUCAUGAUAGUCUUCGCUGGAUGCUUAGCCUUUGUCAUCUUCCCAGCUUCACAGGCUCCACAUAAGUGAUCCUUGAGGAAUUUGACAUUCUCAAUGCCAAUGACAUGCUUCUUCUUCGCAAGCGUGUGCAAAUUCCUCAUGCCUGCAUGACCAAGUCGUCGAUGCCAUAGCCAGCCUUCUGAAGCUUUUGCAAGUAGGCACACGGCUGGUUGCGGUCCUGUAGAGAAAUCAACAAUAUACAAGUCUCCUCUCCUAAAGCCUUCGAAGACUUUGGAAUUGUCAACUUCCAUAACCACAACACAACGAUACUUGCCAAAGACAACAACCAUAUCAAGAUCGCAAAGCAUUGGGACAGACAUGAGGUUGUAUCCUAAGGACUUGUGAAGCAUGACUUUGUCCAUGUGUCGAUCCUUUGUGAUCGCAACCUUACCUAGAACCAAUACCUGACUUUUGCCUUUGUCAGCGAAGAUGAUAUGCUUCAGAUGAGAUGGAGAUAAGGGAGCAUCCAUCAAUAGAUUCUUGUCACCAGUCAUGUGAUUUGUACAUCCACUAUCGAGGACCCACUCAGUGGCUUUGGGUUGAUCAUCCUGCGGAUGAAUUAGUGCAGCUUACGAACUCAUAUACUUCAUCAGUGAAGAAUAUGACAUCAAUUCAUCAGAUCAAUUUCAUCAAGUAAUAGAACAGAUAAAGCACUAUGAGGACGUGAGAAAUGAAAGUUCAUUUCUUCAUGAUUAGCCUACGGCCUUUCAGGCACUUUUCAGGUCUCCAGCAAAUUCUUCAGACGUUCACGCACGUCUGGAGACCUGACCCUGCAGAAGAGAUUAGUUCUUUUUCUUCACCACCCACAUCUGAAGGGGUGGCAAAGAGUUCAUCACUCUGCGAGCUCCAUACGAGAAAGGUGGCAUAGAAGCCAAUCGAUUCCGUUUCACAUAAGAGGAGUUAGGGUAAGCAUAUGAAUAAGCAGAGAAAUUCUUCGAGGACUUAUGAACAUGAUGAUUAGAAGAAGAAUACUCAUAUUCAUAGCCCUUAGCUCUUCCCUGCGAGACAGAGUUGUUAGCACGAUGAUAAUCAUAUGAGGACUUUGAUCCUUUUGAGGAAUAUGAUCCACGUGAAGAAUUCGGUCCGUAUGAGGACUUGGAUCCAUAUGAAGAAUUUGGUCCAUAUGAAGAAUUUGAUCUGGGGUUCCUAUUCUUCACAGGUGGUGUCAUGAGGACAUUCACCUGAAGACUUUCAAGGCACCUUUUGGGAACCCAGAUUUUCUUCAUAGGGGAACUGUUCCUGCAGUUAGUGCCAACAUAUCUAGCAAAUACUUCUCCAUUCUGAUUUUUGAACAGUUUAUAGUUGGAGUCAAAUGACUCAUCAGAAGAAUGAGGAGAUUCACAUGUAAAGCUAGAUAGAUUAGAUGGAUCAACUGGAGGUCCCUUUGCAGCAACCCAUGAGGUUUUGGGGUACUGCUCAGGCUUCCAAUAUGUACCAUAAGCAUUCAGUUUCCUCUCAAAGGCAAUACCCUCUUUCGUAGGGUUCCUGUUGAGGAUCUGCUUUUUAAGCACAUCACAAAGAGUCUGAUGCCCUUUGAGGCUUUUGUACAUGCCUGUCAUGUACAAUUCCUUCAGCCAUGCAUUGUUAGUGAUACUAGCAAUGUCCUCAGAUGAGGAAUUAGUGAUAGCAGAGGCAGGUGAGGAAUUUGUAACAUUAGAAGCAUUUGAAUAUUCAGGUGAAGAAUUAGCAGAUUCACGUUCAAUGCAUUUCAAACAUGGAGGAACAAAUUCUUCCUGAGCAGCGCUGAUUUGUUGAGCAAAUAAUGAAUCGUGCUCCUUCUGAAGAUCUUCAUAACUUACUCUUAGCUUCUCAAGGUCUUGCUUUCUUUGAAGAAAUUCAUAAGAAAGCUUCUCAUGAUCAGACAAGAGAGUGUUAUGAUGACCUUGAAGAUUGUCAAACCUAGUCUGAAGUCUCUGAAGAUUUUCAGUCAAGGUUUUAGUGCGAUCCAUUUCUUCACCCAACAUAUCAUCACUUUUGUCUAGCAUGUUUUGAACCUUUUCAAAAGCCCUUUGUUGUUUCACAGCAAUCUUAGCAAGUUUAGAGUAGCUGGGCUUCAGGUUUUCAUUAGAUUCAUUCUCACUAGAUUCAGAGGAGGUAUAUUUGAGUACCUUGGCACCCUUUGCCAUGAAGCAAUAGGUGGGAGCGUAGUCAUCAUUGCCUUCAUCAGCCUCGUUGGUGAAGCCAUUUUCUUCAGAGUUGAAGAUAGACUUGCUAACGAAUGCAGUAGCGAGAGCUAGACUCGCUACACCAGACUCGGACUCCUCAGAUGCCUCCUCUUCCUCAUGUUCCUCAGAUUCAGCUUCAGAGUCCAUUUCCUUGCCAAUGAAUGCCCGAGCCUUCUUGGAGCUGCUCUUCUUGUGAGAUGAAGACUUUGAGGAUUUUGAUGAUGAAGAUUUUGAGGAUUUCUUCUUUUUCUUCGCAUCAUCAGAACUGUAUUCCUUUUAUUUCUUCUUCUUUGAUUCCUUUUCCCACUGAGGACAAUCUGAAUGUAGUGUCCAGGUUUCUUGCAUUUGUGACAAAGCCUCUUCUUGUAGUCACUGGAUGAGGAAUCAUUGCUCCUUGAGGAUCUUCCAAAGCGACCAUGUCUUGAGAGCUUCUGAAAUUUCUUCACGAGCUGUGCUAGUUCCUGGCUCAGUUCUUCAGGAUCACCAAGGCUACUGCCAGAGUCUUCAUCUUCAGACUCAGAAACUACCUUGGCCUUCAGUGCACGUGAUCUGCCAUAGCUCGAACCAUAGAGAUCUCUCUUUUCAGCAAGCUGGAACUCAUGAGUAUUUAGCCUCUCGAGGAUAUCAGCGGGAUCAAGUGACUUGUAAUCAACACGUUCUUGUAUCAUCAAUGCCAGAGUAUCAAAUGAGGAAUCAAGCGAUCUCAACAAUUUCUUCACCACCUCAUGGUCGGUGAUGUCAGUGGCACCAAGCGCUUGAAGCUCAUUUGAGAUGUCAGUGAGGCGGUCGAAGGUUAGUUGAACAUUUUCAUUGUCGAGUCUUUUGAAGCGGUUGAAGAGAUUGCGAAGAACAUCAACUCGAGAGUCACGCUGAGUUGAGACUCCUUCAUUGACUUUGGACAGCCUAUCCCAGAUAAGCUUAGCAGUUUCCAAAGCACUCACUCUUCCAUACUGUCCUUUGCUCAGAUGGCCACAUAUGAUAUUCUUUGCUUGAGAGUCGAGUUGCUUGAAUCUCUUCACAUCAGCAACAUUCAGAGAAGGUGUGACUGAGGGAACACCAUUUUCCACAACAUACCAGAGAUCGUUAUCAAUUGCCUCAAGAUGCAUUCGCAUCUUAUUCUUCCAGUAGGGGUAGUCCGUCCCAUCGAAGGUAGGACACCCAGUAGAGACCUUGAUCAUACAUGCGGUCGACAUAACUAAAACUCCAGGCGGUUAAACCAAAAUCACACAGAACAAGGGAGUACCUUGCUCUGAUACCAAUUGAAAGUGCGUUAUAUCGACUAGAGGGGGGGGGUAAUAGGCGAUUUUUAUGAAUUCUUCACUGAGGAAUUUGCCGGUGAAGAAAUUCCUUAGCGAAGAACUACUUGUAGUGGAAUAAGUACUCAAAAGUAAACAUAACAGAAUACAAGCAUGGUCAUCAUGAUGAAAUGAAGACAGACACAGAGUACAGAAAGCGUAAACACAUGAUAACAUAGAAUGAAGACAAACAGACUGAAGAAAUUGAACUGAGGAAAUUGAGAAAGUCUUCAGUCAAAGUCUUCAAACACAGAUAUGACAAGCACACAACACAGUAAUGAGGAAAUGAAAGAGUUGAGGAAAUAGAACCAGUUGGCUUGGUGAAGACAAUGAUUUGGUAGACCAGUUCCAACUGCUGUCUCAGUUGUACAUCUGGUUGGAGCGACUAGGUAUUUAAACCUGAGGACACACAGUCCCGGACACACAGUUCUCACCAUAUUCUCCUUGAGCUAAGGUCACACAGACCUCGCCCAAUCACUCGUGGUAAGUCUUCAGGUGACUUCCGAACCUUCACAAACUCGGUCACUCGGCGAUCCACAAUUCCUCUUGGAUGCUCUAGACCAUGACGCCUAACCAUCUGGAAGAAGCACAGUCUUCAAAGGUAACAAGCAUCGGAUCCAUGCAGGAUCAAUCUCUUCAGUGAUGCUCAAUCACUUGGGGUUUGUAGGUGUUUGGGUUUGGGUUUUCCUCACUCGAUGAUUUUCGCUCAAAGUCCUCGGAGGAUGGGAUGCUCUCAAAUGACAAGUGUCAGUUUCUCUCGGAGCAGCCAACCAGCUAGUGGUUGUAGGGGGCGGCUAUUUAUAGCCUAGGGAGCAGCCCGACAUGAUAAGACAUAAAUGCCCUUCAAUGAUAUGACCGUUAGGUGGGAAGAUAUUUUGGGACAGCUGGCGCAUAGCACAGCAACGGUCGGAUAUUUGAGGCUCAAAUUCCUCAGGGCUAUCAUGUUCCUCACUGUGUAGGCAAUCCGCACUGGCGAAUUCCUAACUCCUCAGUCAGAACAAAUUCCUCAAAGACCAGAAGAACUUCGUCUCUGUCACUGAAGAAUAUGACUGAACUGUAUGAGAUUUCCAAUGGCUUCACUCGAAGGGAUUGGUAGGUAUAGGAUUUUGAGUUGAGCAUCACAUGGAAAUUUUUCUUAAUAUUUCCUCGACCCCCUUUAACGGUACGAUGUUUCCUAUGAUUCAAGAAAAAGAAAAUGAAACUACGAAAACAAAAGUCUUCACGCUUCAUGUUCCUCGAAUGAAUACCAAGUCUUCAAGGUCACACCAAUUUCUUCACUUUCAAAGUCUUCAGAAAGUCUUCAGAAAUCGAAAGUCUUCAGUCGAAGAACUUCAUUUUUAGGGGUCGACUUUCUCUGUAAAUAUCAAACUCCUCAUAGACUUAUAGACCUGUGUACACUCACAAACGCAUUAGUCCCUUAACCUAUAAGUCUUCAAUACACCAAAAUCACUAAGGGGCACUAGAUGCACUAAGAUCUUUGCCUUCAGCAGAGAGGGUGCUGUUGAAGAAUUUGGUGCAGCUGAGGAACUAGCAGAAGCUCCUGAGGCAAUAGAGAUGCCUGUAGUCCUUUGGCACGUGGCAAGAUGCACAGAUGCUGAGGACUUGGUUGGAGCAGCUGAGGACUUUGGAGGAGGAGGAGCAGCAUGAGGAAUUGGCCGUGAGGUCUUUGAGGAUUCUGGCCGUGAGGUCAUAGCUGAGGAACUUGGCCUUGAGGGCAUUGAAGGUGAAGCACUUGACUUGUGCGCAGGCUUCUUUGCCAUGGAUUUCUUCGGCUUGACAGAGGCCUCAGCGGCAGCAGCAGCAGCACAGUCUUCAUUGAAUUUCCUCACUGCUUCUCUGGCUUGUCUAGCCAACUUGGGCUGGCGCUUGUCCCAUUCGUCAGGAUAGUCCUCACCGCGCUUGAGGCUGGUGGGAUCAGCUAUUUGGCCAGGUGCCAAUGGAGGUCUUGGGCAUGGAGUAUUGAGUGCGAAUUUCUUCAUGUAUUUAGGAGUAACAUAUCUGUACUCCCUCCACUCCCUUACCCAUCUCCUCUCUAUCCUCUGUAUGCGCACCUUGCGCUGAUUCUUGUCCUCCUUACCAAACUUGGCCUCAUUAGGAGUGCAAUAGUCUUUGUAUAUAUCAUCAGGGAUCUCAAAGGCAGUAUCUAUUUCAGGCCUCUUUCCUCCUUUCUGUGGCUUCUUUCCAUCAGCCAUUUUCUUUGGUUGAGGAAUUUGAACAAUUGAAUUUUCUGAAGAAGUAUGCAACUUUUCUUCGAGGAACGCUGCAAAUGAGUUAAGUUGAUGAGAACCUAGUGAUUCAGCAGCGGACAUGAGUACCUGUGAACAGAGUAUAGUUGCGAGGAAUUUGGAGAGGUCAUAUGCAUUCUCAGAAGAUUUUGUAAAAAGAACAAGUUUGAGGAAUUUGACCAGAUGAGUCUUGAAGAAUUUCACUAAGCGUUCUUUGUCUUAGGUUCCAGAGUUGUAUAGAUCGAAGAUCCACACAAUUGAGGAAUCUUGAAGAAAAAAUAUUGCUUAGAGAAAUGAAUCAAGAAUAGAUGACAUGUGAGGUGUUUAGUGUGUGAAGAAUUUGAAGAAUAAACACCUUUGAAGAUUUUGUAGAAAUCAUUUGAAUCAAAGAGGGUGGUAAAAGUAACUUUUAAUUACCCUGGACGAAGAACACGACGAACUUGGAUGUGGAGAUGAGAAGUUCGUCUGUGUAGAUCUUCCACGCCCUAACUCGGCAGAGGAAGACAGCUACGGCAGCGGCGGAGUGAAGAUUUCCGCGGCUGGCGCGAGUACGACGGCGACGAGGUCGAGGCAGUGAAGCUCUUCCUCACCGGCGAUGAUGAAGUAGCGGCGGCGCUAGGGUUUGAGAAGCUCGAGCUGGAGAGAGGUCGAGCGGAGUAAAGGAAGUGAGGAAGGGAAGGGGGUAUUCAUAGCCACGGUGAAAAACUGUUCGCCGGAAGAUUUUCGACGAACGUGCCCCUGACCCUUCUCAUUCGCUUGACAUGUGUCACCCACGUACUGAGAAGUGGAGAUCGUGGGUGAAUAGAUAAGUAUUUUGUGGGAUGCGGAACGGUUUGAGCGGCAAAACCAAUUUUUUUGGAUAAGAUAAGUUUUAACGUUUCGUUCGCAAAUUCUUCAGCUCACAAGGACACAGUGAAGAUUUUGAAGGAGUUUCAAAUAGAACGCACAUGAAGAAUUUGUGAAUAGAAUGGGUUGAGUUUAGCAUAGAGGGGUUAGGGUCCGAUCACAUUCACUUAGCAGAAAAAGCAACUUGAAUAAUUAGCCAUAAGUGAAUGCUGUAGAGGACAUAAACUCACACACACACACACACACACACACACACACAUAUAUAUAUAUAUAUAUAUAUAUAUAUGUAUAUAUAUAUAGCUAGUAAAAAAUGACGGAAACAGUGAAGACAAUGCAAAGUUGAAGAAAAUUAACAACUGAGGAAUUUCAAAACUGAGGAAAAACUCAAAUUGAAGAUUUUCAACUUUUGGUGGUGGCGUGACCCACCAUAUAAGAAUGAUGAUUUCAGACACCGCGUACAAUUGUCGUAGGGUUCUGAGAAUCAAAUUCUUCGUUAAUUUCUUCACACUUAGAGUGUUAGUCUUCAUUGAUUGAAGAAAAACGUUUCUUCAUGUGUUGCACAUCUAAGUCAUCAAUUUUGCAUAAGUGUUAGGAUGAGUGUCCUUUUCAAAGAACAUUCGAAGAUUCUAAGAUAUUUAGCUCACACCGCAACUUGCUAAAUCUCUUCUCAUCCAAGGGCUUUGUGAAGAUAUCGGCUAGCUGUUCUUCAGUCUUCACAUGCUCAAUAGAAAUGUCGCCCUUCAACACAUAAUCACAAAGAAAAUGAUGACGAAUCUGAAUGUGCUUUGUCUUCGAGUGCUGAACUGGGUUGUGAGCAAUCUUGAUGGCACUCUCAUUGUCACAGAAGAGAGGCACAUUCUUCACGUUGACGCUGUAGUCCUUGAGAGUUUGCUUCAUCCACAGCAAUUGAGCACAGCAAGAACCAGCAGCAAUGUACUCAGCUUCAGCAGUAGACAGUGAUACGCAGUUCUGUUUCUUCGAGUACCAACAGACCAAAGUUCGUCCGAGGAAAUGACAUGUACCAGAUGUUGACUUGCGGUCCACACGAUCACCAACAUAGUCAAAGUCAGAAUAUCCAAUGAGAUCAAAAGUCGAGCCCUUGGGGUACCAUACUCCAAGUGUUGGUGUGUGAGCUAGAUAUCGAAAAAUAUGCUUCACAGCCUUAUGGUGUGAUUCCUUCGGUGUAGCUUGAAAUCGGGCACACAUGCAAACACUAAGCAUUAUAUCUGGCCUAGAUGCACAUAACUACAAUAAAGAACCAAUCAUGGAGCGGUAUACCUUAUGAUCGAAGUCAAUACCAUUUUCAUCAGUGCACAGAUGGCCAUUUGUGGGCAUUGGAAUUUUGACGCCUUUGCAGUCUUGCAUGCCGAAUUUCCUCAGUACAUCCUUGAGGUAUUUCUCCUGAGAUAUGAAUAUGCCAUUGCGUUGUUGAUGAAUUUGAAGAUCUAAGAAGAAUUUCAACUCUCACAUCAUAGACAUUUGAUAUUCUUCACUCAUCAUAUAGGCAAAUUCAUCACUAUAACGUUGGUCAGUACAACCAAAGAUAAUAUCAUCAACAUAUAUUUGGCACACAAACAGUUCACCAUCAUAAGAUUUAGUGAAAAGAGUAGGGUCGAGUGAACCGGGUUUGAAGCCUUUCUUCAUGAGGAAUUCCUUCAAAGUAUCAUACCACGUCCGUGGGGCCUGCUUGAGGCCAUAGAGGGCCUUGUUUAGUCUGAAGACUUUGUCAGGAUGCUUAGGAUCUUCAAAACCUGGGGGUUGAGCAACAUAUACUUCUUCCUCAAGCUUACCAUUGAGGAAUGCACUUUUCACAUCCAUUUGAUAUAAAGUGAUAUCAUGAUGGUUAGCAUAAGCAAGUAAUAUGCAAAUAGCCUCAAGUCUAGCAACAGGUGCAAAAGUUUCAUCGAAAUCAAUUCCUUCAACCUGUGUGUAGCCUUGAGUUACAAGCCGUGCCUUAUUCCUAACCACAAGGUCAUUUUCAUCUUGCUUGUUGCGGUAGAUCCACUUUGUGCCAAUGAUAUUGUGCUUGCGAGGAUCUGGACGUUUAACCAGUUCCUAGACGUUGUUGAGCUCGAAUUGAUGUAAUUAUUCUUGCAUGGCCUGAAUCCACUCAGACUCCAGAAAUGCUUCAUCUACCUUAGUGGGCUCCGUGAUAGAGACAAAAGCAUAGUGCCCACAAAAGUUAGAUAAAUGUGAAGUUUUUGAGCGUGUGAGAGGACCCGGUGCUUCAAUGUCAUCGAUGAUCUUUUCAACUUGCACUUCUUUUGCAACGCGAGGAUGAGCUGGUUGUCGUCGAGGAAUUUGAUCAGCAUUUUCUUCAGCACCAUUUUCUUCAGUAUUUUCUUCAGGUGCAUUAGCUCGACGUUCUUCACGUUCUGGAAUGAAUUCUUCAGCAGAUUCUUCAGUAGGAAUGACAUCCUCAGUAGCCUUGAACUUGAUAGUUUCCUCAGGUGCUGGUUCAUCUAUCACAGAAGGUAGGUGCUCGCUUUGCGAGCCAUUAGUUUCAUCGAACCGCACAUCUAUAGUUUCAACAACCUUGUGAAGAACGUUGUUGAAGACUAUGUAGGUGUGCGAAUCCUUUCCGUAACCAAGCAUGAAACCUUCAUGUGCUUUCGGUGCAAAUUUAGCAUUGUGAUGAGGAUCUCUAAUACAACAUUUAGCACCGAAGACUUUGAAAUAACUCACAUUGGGUGUCUUGUCAGUGAGGAGUUCAUAGGCAGUCUUCUUGAAGAAUUUGUGAAGAUAUACCCUGUUGAUGAUGUGGCACGCAGUAUAAAUUGCUUCAACCAGAAGUGACGAGGCAUCUUGUACUCAUCAAGCAUAGUGCGAGCCAUCUCAACAAGAGUUCUGUUCUUGCGCUCCACGACGCCAUUCUGCUGAGGAGUACAAGGAGCAGAUAACUCAUGAGUAAUACCAAGUUCAUUAAGAUAGUCAUCAAGACCAGAAUUCUUGAACUCAGUUCCAUUGUCACUUCUGAUGUGCUUGAUCUUCACAACAAAGUUGGUAGAAGCCCUCGAGGAAAAUCGUUUGAAGACUUCCUGCACUUCAUGUUUGUAAGUAACAAUGUGUACCCAUGUGUAUCGAGAGUAAUCAUCAACAAUAACAAAGCCAUAGAGAGAUGCGUGAGUUGUGACUGCUGAGUAAUGAUUAGGACCGAAGAGAUCCAUGUGAAGCAAUUUAAAUUGGCGAGUGGUAGUCAUGAUAGUCUUCGCUGGAUGCUUAGCCUUUGUCAUCUUCCCAGCUUCACAGGCUCCACAUAAGUGAUCCUUGAGGAAUUUGACAUUCUCAAUGCCAAUGACAUGCUUCUUCUUCACAAGCGUGUGCAAAUUCUUCAUGCCUGCAUGACCAAGUCGUCGAUGCCAUAGCCAGCCUUCUGAAGCAUUUGCAAGUAGGCACACGGCUGGUUGCGGUCCUGUAGAGAAAUCAACAAUAUACAAGUCUCCUCUCCUAAAGCCUUCGAAAACUUUGGAAUUGUCAGCUUCCAUAACCACAACACAACGAUACUUGCCAAAGACAACAACCAUAUCAAGAUCGCAAAGCAUUGAGACAGACAUGAGGUUGUAUACUAAGGACUCGACAAGCAUGACUUUGUCCAUGUGUCGAUCCUUUGUGAUCGCAACCUUACCUAGACCCAAUACCUAACUUUUGCCUUUGUCAGCGAAGAUGAUAUGCUUCAGAUGAGAUGGAGAUAAGGUAGCAUCCAUCAAUAGAUUCUUGUCACCAGUCAUGUGAUUUGUACAUCCACUAUCGAGGACCCACUCAGUGGCUUUGGGUUGAUCAUCCUGCAGAUGAAUUAGUGCAACUUACGAACUCAUAUACUUCAUCAGUGAAGAAUAUGACAUCAAUUCAUUAGAUCAAUUUCAUCAAGUAAUAGAACAGAUAAAGCAGUAUGAGGACGUGAGAAAUGAAAGUUCAUUUCUUCAUGAUGAGCCUGCGUCCUUUCAGGCACUUUUCAGGUCUCCAGCAAAUUCUUCAGACGUUCACGCACGUCUGGAGACCUGACCCUGCAGAAGAGAUUAGUUUUUUUUCUUCACCACCCAUAUCUGAAGGGGUGGCAAAGAGUUCAUCACUCUGCGAGCUCCAUACGAGAAAGGUGGCAUAGAAGCAAAUCCAUUCCGUUUCACAUAAGAGGAGUUAGGGUAAGCAUAUGAAUAAGCAGAGAAAUUCUUCGAGGACUUAUGAACAUAAUGAUUAGAAGAAUAAUGCUCAUAUUCAUAGCCCCUAGCUCUUCCCCGCGCGAGAGAGAGUUGUUAGCACGAUGAUAAUCAUAUGAGGACUUUGAUCCUUUUGAGGAAUAUGAUCCACGUGAGGAAUUCGGUCCGUAUGAGGACUUGGAUCCAUAUGAAGAAUUUGGUCCACAUGAAGAAUUUUAUCUGGGGUUCCUAUUCUUUACAGGUGGUGUCAUGAGGACAUUCACCUGAAUACUUUCAAGGCACCUUUUGGGAACCCAGAUUUUCUUCAUAGGGGAACCGUUCCUGCAGUUAGUGCCAACAUAUCUAGCAAAUACUUCACCAUUCUGAUUUUUGAACAGUUUAUAGUUGGAGUCAAAUGCCUCAUGAGGAGAUUCACAUGUAAAGCCAGAUAGAUUAGAUGGAUCAACUGGAGGUCCCUUUGCAGCAACCCAUGAGGUUUUGGGGUACUGCUCAGGCUUCCAAUAUGUACCAUCAGCAUUGAGUUUCCUCUCAAAGGCAAUAUCCUCUUUCCUAGGGUUCCUGUUGAGGAUCUGCUUUUUAAGCACAUCACAAAGAGUCCGAUGCCCUUUGAGGCUUUUGUACAUGCCUGUCAUGUACAAUUCCUUCAGCCCUGCAUCGUCAGUGAUACUAGCAAUGUCCUCAGAUGAGGAAUUAGUGACAGCAGAGGCAGGUGAGGAAUUUUUAACAUUAGAAGCAUUUGAACAUUCAGGUGAAGAAUUAGCAGAUUCACAUUCAAUGCAUUUCAAAUAUGGAGGAACAAAUUCUUCCUGAGUAGGACUGAUUUGUUGAGCAAGUAAUUAAUCACGCUCCUUCUGAAGAUCUUCAUAACUCACUCUUAGCUUCUCAAGAUCUUGCUUUCUUUGAAGAAAUUCAUGAGAAAGCUUCUCAUGAUCAGAUAAGAGAGUGUUAUGUUGAUCUUGAAGGGUGUCAUACUUAGUAUGAAGUCUCUGAAGACUUUCAGCCAAAACUUUUGACGGAUCCAUUUCUUCACCCAACAUAUCAUCGCUCCUAUUUAGCAUGUAUUGAACUUUUUCCAAAGCUCAUUGCUGUUUAGUGGCAAGGGAAGCAAGUUUGACAUAGCUGGGUCCAAAUUCAUCAUCACUGGACUCGGAUAGGUAGCAUUCAGUUACCUCAGCACUUUUUGCCAUAAGGCAUGAUGAAGAGGAUGAUGAUCCUGGUUCAAAUGUCAUCGCUUUGAGAGAUUCCUUGAAGUCCUAAAACCAAGGAUCAUGACGGGUUCGAUGACCUUCAUAGACCUCAGAGAGACGGUCCUAGAUAAGCUUCGCAUGAUCGAGAUGCAUGAUGUUCUUGAACUGAUUUUGAGACAGACAGGAGCAGAUGACGUCCUUCACCGUGAGAUUUAGAAGAGUGUACUUGCGAAUGUCAUCAGCUUCCGCCAUCUUGCAUAGAUCGGUCAGACCAAUCUCUGUGACGGUCCACAACUCGCUGUUCAUCGCCAUGAGGCGCUUCUUCAUCAUGGCCUUCCACUUGGGAUACUCGUGACCGUCAAAGAUGGGGCAUGACACAGUCUUCAUUCCUGUGGUCGACAUAACUAAAACUCCAGGCGGUUAAACCAAAAUCACACAGAACAAGGGAGUACCUCGCUCUGAUACCAAUUGAAAGUGCGUUAUAUCGACUAGAGGGGGGGUGAAUAGGCGAUUUUUAUGAAUUCUUCACUGAGGAAUUUGCCGGUGAGGAAAUUCCUUAGCGAAGAACUACUUGCAGCGGAAUAAGUACUCAGAAGUAAACAUAACAGAAUACAAGCAUGGUCAUCAUGAUGAAAUGAAGACAUGCAUAGAGUACAAAAAGCGUAAACACAGGAUAACACAGGAUGAAGACAAUCAGACUGAAGAAAUUGAACUGAGGAAAUUGAGAAAGUCUUCAAUCAAAGUCUUCAAAUACAGAUAUGACAAGCACACAACACAGUAAUGAGGAAAUGAAAGAGUUGAGGAAAUAGAACCAGUUGGCUUGGUGAAGACAAUGAUUUGGUAGACUAGUUCCAACUGCUGUCUCAGUUGUACAUCUGGUUGGAGCGGCUAGGUAUUUAAACCUGAGGACACACAGUCCCGGACACACAGUUCUCACCAUAUUCUCCUUGAGCUAAGGUCACACAGACCUCGCCCAAUCACUCGUGGUAAGUCUUCGGGUGACUUCCAAACCUUCACAAACUCGGUCACUCGGCGAUCCACAAUUCCUCUUGGAUGCUCUAGACCAUGACACCUAACCGUCUGGAAGAAGCACAGUCUUCAAAGAUAACAAGCGUCGGAUCCACGCAGGAUCAAUCUCUUCAGUGAUGCUCAAUCACUUUGGGUUUGUAGGUGUUUGGGUUUGGGUUUUCCUGACUCAAUGAUUUUCGCUCAAAGUCCUCGGAGGAUGGGAUGCUCUCAAAUGACAAGUGUCAGUUUCUCUCGGAGCAGCCAACCAGCUAGUGGUUGUAGGGGGCGGCUAUUUAUAGCCUAGGGAGCAGCCCGACAUAAUAAGACAUAAAUGCCCUUCAAUGAUAUGACCGUUAGGUGGGUAGAUAUUUUGGGACAGCUGGCACAAGGCAGAACAACGGUCGGAAAUUUGAGUGCCAAAUUCCUCGGGGCUAUCAUGUUCCUCACUGUGUAGGCAAUCCGCACUGGCGAAUUCCUAACUCCUCAGUCAGAACAAAUUCCUCAGAGACCAGAAGAACUUCGUCUCUAUCACUGAAGAAUAUGACUGAACUGUAUGAGAUUUCCAAUGGCUUCACUCGAAGGGAUUGGUAGGUGUAGGAUUUUGAGUUGAGCAUCACAUGAAAUUUUUUCCUUAGUAUUUCCUCGACCCCCUUUAACAGUACGGUGUUUCCUAUGACUCAAGAAAAAGAAAAAGAAACUAUGAAAACAAAAGUCUUCACGCUUCAUGUUCCUCGAAUGAAUACCAAGUCUUCAAGGUCACACCAAUUUCUUCACUUUAAAAGUCUUCAGAAAUCGAAAGUCUUCAGUCGAAGAACUUCAUUUUUAGGGGUCGACUUUCUCUGUAAAUAUCAAACUCCUCAUAGACUUAUAGACCUGUGUACACUCACAAACGCAUUAGUCCCUUAACCUAUAAGUCUUCAAUACACCAAAAUCACUAAGGGGCACUAGAUGCACUUACACCAACAUGAGUCCACAUAUGCUCAACCAAAUCAUAUUGCAGUUGCACGUGAGUUUCCCAAUCACGCAUGUCUUCAUGAAACUGAGUAAACUGCUCAAAUGUUGCCGCUACUCCAUGCUCAGGCACAACAUUCUCACCCUGAAACUGAAAGCCUUGAUCGUACAGACAUUCCGGGCGCUCGUCUUCUACGGUCAUAUUGUGCAUGAUCACACAAGCAGUCAUCACCUCACAAGAAGGAAAUGCCCGCUCUCUCGGUUACGAUUCAAAGCCGGAAGGUGGCCCGGAAUGGAGCCACGGAACAACGGCCGCUGGUUGUUGAGGUGGUGAUGGACCAACACGGCAGCCAAUAUCUCCUCCUCGUCGUCGGACGACGAAUCGUCGGAGUCGCAAAGGAAAUUGUGGAAAAAGAACUCGUUGGCGGAGUCCAUUUUCGUACCUUGGCAAACUGUCGAACAGCUUGCGGGCGUCGAAGAAGGAGACGGCCGGCGAGGGGAGACGCGGCGCCCACAGACCAGCUAGCUGCCCUGCCGGCGUCCGACGAGCGUGCUGGUCGGAUGUGGCGGGGGCGGCGAGGCGUCUUCUUGGUCGCGGGCGGCUGUGCGGUGGGGGAAGCGGCGGCGGGAACCAGUUUGCUCCCCGGCGGCAAAACGGCGGCGGCGGGUGACUAGGGGCAGGGGUGGCGUUGCUGGGCGGAGGUGGAGGCGGCGGCAGCUGGAAGAGUCGCCGGCAAAAAUGGGCGGCGGCGUCGGUGACGGAGGAGGCAGGGCGAGGGUUGCUUGUUGGCCGGGGGGGUGAGAGGAGAGGCCAAUGUGCCACAUACCAGCGGGCCCGGGGACAGGAGUAGGCGAGCGCGCGCGCGUCCGUCGCGUGUUCGCGCCGACGCAAAUCAGGCUCAAAAAUGGGUCGGGAAUGGAUCGCCCGCGGACGAAAAACGGACGCGCGUCCGUUUGGGUCAACGCGUUGGGCCGCCUUUUCUGUCCGCGCCGACCCAAACGGACGGCCGCGGACGAAAUGGGUCGCCCCAUUGGAGUUGCUCUUAUUGCCUCGAGGGCAUAUUUCCUUCAUCUUCAAGGAGGACGGGUCCGGCUACGAGGCUCCGAAUGACGAGGAUCUCACGCUCCACAUUGCCAUCGAGCGGUCGCGGGUGGACAUUGGCGGGAGCUUGAGCUCUGCGCCGUCUCUAGUGACCCGGCAACGCAUUGCGGCCAAUGCGGAGGCCCAUUGCUUUGCGCGCCGCGCCAGAGCCGUCAGGCGUGCUACUCCCCUUCCCCUUCGCUGCCAGCUCCUCUCGAGCAGCGUUGGGUGCUCACGCCCGCGCAGAGCCAGUGGAUGAGGAUGCGGAGUCGGAGGCCAAAGCCUCCCGCCGUGAGAGGUAGCGGGCCACGCAGAGGGCAGUGGAGGCUGGCUCCUCCCGCACAUGCACGAGAUCCGCGCUAUUAACCCGGUGGAGCAGCUCCUCUGCGAUGUCCUUGCCGAUCGUUGACCGGCGGAGACGGACGCGAGGCGCCUCCGCGGCAAGUAGCGAAGGCGCUCCGGCUUGGCAUCGAAGAGUUGGAGUGCCUCACGAUGGAGAAGGAGACCGCUAAGGUCAAGGCGACACGACUCGUGAAGGAGCAGGCCCCCGUCAUGAAGUCUCGCCGGCAUCAUCUCGUCGUCGUCGGACAACGGUACCAUGAGCGCAAACCUCCGGACACGGACGCCUGCACGGAGGACUAAUACCACCGCCGUGGUGACCGCAAGGGGAAGAUCUUGGCGAGGAAAUGGUGAUGUCUGCCGCCCCGCUCCGUCGAUCUAGUUUAUUUUGUACCUAGUUUAAUCUGCCCGCCGAUAAACUAUGUCCCAUGAACUCUAUUCGAUGAACUCUGUCUUUUGGAUUCGAUUGUGCUAUAUAUAUGUAGGUUUGAUCCACGUUGCAAUUUUUAUUUGUGUAGUUGCAUGGAUUGCAUGGAUUUGGUAGACAAACGUUUGCGGAGCAUGACUUUGGGCAAGGAUAAAUGAGGGUGAUCGGUCACUGUCCACGCAUUUCACAGGCUCGUCCGUGGAUGUACAGGAGUCACAUUUGACAAUCUGGAUUGUUUUUUUAGGGACGUAUAUAGCAUCCUGACUGUAGAAUGUAGAUGCUCUUAAUGCUGACUACGGUGCUGGAGAAAGAGAGGGGGUUGCUUCCACCGCGGCGGCGUUCCCCUUGCACCAGGCGGCUACAGUCAGCAGCGGCUCAGCCCGAGGUACAUCCAAGGGGAAGGGAAAGAUGCGCGUGGACACGAGUGACGCAAGCGCGGACGCAAUGAAACGCAACCACCGGUGGGUUUCUUUUCCGUCCUUGAGCACGAAGACGCCAGCCCGGCUGCAUGUAGGCCUUGACCGGACCAAAUCCAACCUACUCUAGUACUCUGCUAUAGUUGGUUCUACUAACCGUACGUGCGCCAUGAGCCCAUGACAAGUGUUCCAUAACUCUGGUUGGUCAAUGGUCAGAGAAGUUUGUCGAGUGUAUGUAUCGACAAACAGCAGGAGAGGAGGCUGCUGUAGAGUAGAGUGCUCCUAUUUUGCUCCGCCGUGCACGAGGUGCAUGCAUGAACAUCCUAUAUGGCCAUGUACCUCGAGUCUGAUCGGUGCAGCGCUGGAAUAGGGGCGUUGCUCAUGGCACGCAUGUACGGAUGUACCAAUGCGCGAAACGUCGCUCGUUGUGCUGUCCCCAGACAAAUAUGACGCCUUUCCCGUUUCCACAAUGGUUGUGUCAGCGGAUUUGCAAUGACCCUUGGACGGUGCGGUGCUUGGGAUGGUGCGGCUUUUGACGGCGCCGGAGCAUGGUUUAGAUAACCGUGGCCAUGCCAGACGGAGGGGCUGUUGGCCCGCUUCAAUGUGGUGCAGCGGGCGGAGUUGGUUUCUCGGGACGCGACGUCCAUAUUAAAGCGGCGGCGACGUUCGAGGGGUCGCGUCCGUAUGCGCCGCCUUCUCGUCCGGUCAAAUCACGGCAUCAACACCGGCCGCUACAUGUUCUGGGCUGGCAUGAAGGCGGCGUGACGCGUGGGAUGAAAAGUGCGGGUGGGUGGUUUUGGUGGGUCAAGACGGUAAGAUGAGGGCUUGGGAGCGGUCCGGACUCCUGCAAAGCCCCCCAUGUUUGUCUGCGGUUUGCAGAAGAAAUCGCGUCCGGACCGCGCCACAGACUGAUACAGGACCGUGUUGGAUGGCUUCUGCGGUCCGGACAACGCGGCCAGACAUAUGCAGGUGGUUUGCGGGUCCGCCUUGAAGAUGCCCUAACUAUCGCCGAGGAAGAAAUGUGUGUCGAACCCCCUCCCCCUACCUUCCUCGUCUGCGUCAUUCCCGUGAGUGGCCAGCCGGGCAUCGUUCUCCUACACCUCUUCAUCCCUGAUCUCCCUUCUCCCCUCCUCGCCGCCAUCGGAGGGCCCUGUUGGGUGGAGUCUAGGCGACGGUGAGGCUCUCGUUCCUCCCAUGCAUGGCGGCGACGCGUGACGUGGCACACGGUCUGGAGUGCGGUGGUGGGGCUACUAGCCACGUACGCUGAUGCAAGCGUGGUGGCUGCAUGGGAAUGGCGGGCGCGCUUGUGGUGGCAUCGCCGCAAAUCAGGCUCGUUGGCGGCCAUGGGCAACGACCUCUUUGUGAGCGCAGGGCAUGGAUUAGGAGCUACUGUCCCCCGCGUUUCACGGCGGAAAAACGAGCAAUCACGCACCCUCCCUCCUCGUUUGUAUGCUUUUGCCGACCCUGUUUGACUUUGAAAAAGUGUGGGGUAGGGCACUCCUGCUUUCUUUUGUUUAUAUUUUUAACUUUGAAAACCGUUCACGAAUCCCAAAUUUGAAAAGGGUGUCCAUGAUUUUAAAAAAAAUAUGAAGUUCAAAAAUGUUCACGAAUUUGGAAAUGUUCAUGGAUUCCGAAUACGUUCUAAAAUUUCAAAAAAUGUUCUUAGUUCCAAAAACUGUUCAUGAAUUUGAUUUUUCUGAAUAUAAAAAAUAAAGUUCAUGAAUUUCAAUUUUCCCCAUAUUUUUUUUUGAAUUUGAAUAAAUUUUCUGAAUUAAAAAAAUGUUUCUAAAUUUCAAAAAAAGUUCAUGAUUUUGAAAUUUGUUCCUGUAUUUAAAAAUGUCACUAGAUAAAAAAAUGUUCAUGAAUUUGUAAAAUAUUUCCAAAAUUCAAAAAAAUAUUAUCAAAUUUAAAUAGGUUUACAUUUAAAUAUUCGUGAAUUCAAACAAUUUUCGUGUUUCAAAAAAUUUCACGAAAUAAAAAAUAAGAGUAAGAAAAAAAAUGCAGGAAACCCCCGAUUUCGGAAGGUUCUAGGACCUUUCCAAAACUGGAAGAGGAGCCUUGCUAAAUGGACUGGCCAAAUUGUAACUAGCAGGCCACUACAGGUGCGCGUUUGAUUGACAUUCCCUGACCAACCUGGGAAUGAGAGAUCCUAUUCCCCUACCUAUGUGUCGAAUAGCCACGAAAUGCGCAACCCCUGUCCCUCCUGCGUUUUGGGCCGACCCUAGUGCAUGGAGGGGCGCCCCUUUUAUUUUGUUCCUUUUUGGAUUUCAAAAAAUAGUUCUAAAAAACUAAAAACUUAUUGGGUUUUCAAAAACAGUUCCAAAAUUCAAAAAAAAAAAUCUUCAGGAAUUUGAAAAAAUGUUCAAACAUCCAAACAGAGUUAGUGAUUUAAAAAACAUGUUCAUGAUUUUGAUUGUUUUUCUGGAAAAUAAAAAAUUCCCACAGAUUCAAAAACAUGAUCACGAUUUUUUUUUAAAUUGCGUAUUAAAAUAAUGAAUUCAAAAAAUGUUAACAAUUUUAAACAAAUGUUUCAGGAAUCAAGAAAUGUUAACAGAUUCUAAAUAUUUGUUGUUUUUGAAAAGAGUCUAAGUAUUAUGAAAAUAUUCAUCAUUUUCAAAAAAUGUUCAUGAAUUUAAAAUAUUCAUAUUUUAUGAAAAGUAUUUUGGAAUAUAAAUUGUUUGCAGGUUAAAAAAUGUUCUUAAUUUUGAAUUUUUUUCUCAUAUUCAAAUAGUAUUUGUUAUUUGACUUUUUGGGAAGAAAAAUGAAGAAACCCACAAAAAAGUGAAAAACGGAGAAACCCGAUAAAGGAAAAUGAAACCGAAGAAAACCAAUGCAAAAAAAAUGGGAACAAAGAAGCUGAGAAAGAAAUAAAGAAAAUGAGGAAGAGCAAGAAAGAAACCAAAGAAAAACAAAAAAAAACACAUUGAAAACUGAGAAAGAAAAGAAAAAUCAGUGAAAACUGUGAAGAAAACAAAGAAAGCCGGUGAAAGAACGAAGAAAACCAGAAAAAAAUGAUGAAGAUACAGAUAGAAAUAAAAGAAAACAUAAAAGAAAAUUAAAAAAAAAAAACUGGCCCGAAGUUGUUCGUGCACCGCACGAGACUAUUGAUGUGAAACAAUUGUAAGGAAAGCAAAUGAAUGAUCUUUACUGAUGUUGGUGAUUACAAUAUAUAGUCCGUGAACGGACGUUUCCUACAGACACGUCGAUUGGAGCAGGCACGAGUGGAACG